This 49777-nucleotide long non-coding RNA is filed under the name Malus domestica (apple). Its description in RNAcentral is "long non-coding RNA (MDOM_LNC017840)". The record is from RNAcentral. Lineage: Eukaryota; Viridiplantae; Streptophyta; Magnoliopsida; Rosales; Rosaceae.
ACUGAUCAUUUGAAUUAUUCAUGACAGAACCAAUUUUGAUUUGAAAUAUGAUGGCCAAGAACAAAUCACACUGCUUUUCAAUGGUUACCAUAAAUUUUCAGAAGUUACAGAAGAUUUUUUAUCAAUUGAAAAGACAAUGGUCACAUAUAUCUACAAUUAACCACCAGUAAGCGUGAAAUACUACAUCACAAUGCAAUAGCAGCUAUACAGGAUGUCAUGCCAUUCAUACUAUGACAAAUCACAAAAGUGACAAUUAAAGGGCACCUAACAGACACCCCCAUCUCUCUCUCUCUCUGCAAUAGCAGAAAUCCCUCGGGUUUCAGGAAGCAAAUGGAAAACAAAAUGCUUUUACAUCCCCUACCCAUACCCAUACCCCUCCCUUACCCAUUCCCUUUACCCUUGCAGAAAAUCCUCCCAUCUCUCUCUCACCCUUGUCCCAUCUCUCUGUCUGCAAAUCGCAGAAAAGAAACCCUGAACAAAUCACUGAAAUCCCUCGCCUAAAUCCUCCCACAUUUCUCUCAGACACCCUCUAUCUCUCUCUCUCUUUGCAAACCCUAAACCAAAUCUCCUAAAUUCUAUCUCGGACACCCCACAUACAGCCAAGAAGCCAAGAUAUUAAAGCAAUCUCUACAUAAUACUUUGGAACAAUGAAGCAAAAUGGUACUUACUUGUUCCUUGUCCAAAACCGUUGGUGCCGCCGCACAUUGUUAUUAAUUGUGGGUUGAUCAAAUCCUUCAUGGCUUAGACUGCAUGAAGAAUUAGAAACUAAAAGAUGAAUAUAUGCUGUAAAUCAUCAUAUAAAUGUAACUGCAUUUAAAAAAAGAAGGGAAUGAAAAAUUGAAUUCUAUUUCAUCAGUAUGUAACUGCAUGAAAAGUUACAUUGAAUGCAGACUCAAUCAAUUUCCCCAAAGUCAUUGUUAACUGAAAAUCAAUAUCAAACCCAUAAAUACCACCAUUGAAUUUGCGAAACCCAAAAACAAAAUACAAAAAUUUACUCAUAUAAUCACAGAAAAACAUGAAAUUUGAGCACAUAUUUGGCAAAGUUAAAGGAUAAAGGCACUCACAUCAUCGUAGUACUCUUCGGGAAGAACUUCUAAUAAUGGUUCUUCCUUUUUCUUGCUCUUCCUCAGAGCUGCCAUAAAAAAACCCAGAGAAGCACACAAAUUCAGAAAAGAAAAGGUCCAAAACAGCCAUAAAAAAUCCAGAAAGCAUACAAAUUUAUCAGAACAAAAACCAAAUGAUGUGAGAUAGUGAGAGGUUGUGUUAGGCACCCGUAACACGUUUUGGUUUCAAUUAAAACGGCCAGAGCGUUGCAUGCGAGGAAGAUGACGAUAGGAUUCCAAACACAACAUCCACAUUCUUUUUUCUUGGGUGAACUAACCAAAUCAUAUUAUAUACUAAAAUGACAUAAAAAAUCAUUCACAAAAUCACAACAAAAUAGAACAAAAACAUUCACAAAAGAAUUCCCCAAGUUUUCAAAUGGAAAUUAAACAUUUACAUAGCUUAUAUAAAAAGCCGAAAUAUAAAAAUUAAUCAAAAGGUUGAGAUAACUCACAUCCCAGUAAUGCUUAUUGCUGAUAUUAACACCCACUGACAGCAGCCCUCGGUUUGUGGAAUUCCCACGCCCAACUCCAUGACCUCUGUCUCUGCCAUCCCUCUUUCCCUCACAACCAUACCCACUUUCGACCCACCCCUCAAUCCCGACACCAACCCUUGAUUUAAGGAGGAAAAAUCAAUCCAACCACCCUUUUCGCAAGCCUCACUCCUCCCUCUCCCUUCCCCUCCCUGCCAAUCCCAUGCCCAUCUCCCUCGUUGUAGCUCAGCAACCCACGUUUUUUGGCACCAAACACUAUGUCCUAGGAUGAUGUGACAAUUUAUCAAAGUCAGAAAAUGCAUUAUCUCAGUUUAGGUUGGUAGCAUAUAUGAUCCCUGUGCAGCAACAUAGAAUACUUAGUAAAAGUUGCAUUUCUGAGAACAAAUAACCAAUGCUUGACCGAAAAAACAAUGCAGAUGCUUUAGUAUACAGAAUUACAGUUUUAUUCAAGCUUCUCAGUCACAAACUAACCUUCCUUUGUCGAGCAGCAAGGAGGAGGGGGAGAAAAUUGAUUCCUGGAGGAGCUUUUUCGUUCAAAACUAAGUCAAGCUGCAAGGACGAAGGGUCGAGGAUUGUUCGUGAGCUGGUGUUGCGGAUAUAAACAUAUAGAAAGCUCCACUGUGUCAUAACAAACACAAAUUGAAUAUGAUCACCAUGUCACAUUAAUUACCUAAAAUUCAAAAUGUUAUAUACAUUAGUAUGUUGAAAAAAUUAGUUACAUUUCAUUAAACUAAAAAAUUUACAGAAUAUGAGAAAUAAAGAAUUUGUAUUGUUUAUAUAAAAAUAGAAUAACAAAGAACAUCAUUGACUACCAUUUUAUUCGGUAGUUUCCUCCAACUGCAAUUGUUGAGAUUGUAGGAGAUCUUCGAAUAAAGCCUUCAAUUCAACCAUCCGUACACAAACAUAAUAGACAAUGUUUUUUAGCGAAUUAUGGACAAAGCUUAAUAUUCAAAUGCAAUGAAGUGGAAAACACAAUCCAAUAUAUGGAUAUGCAUGCUAUAGGAAACCAUUCAUUUGUAGAUGGUAUUGUGUCACCAAUAUUGUAUUUAAAAAUCUACCCAAGAUAAAGAUGCAAUAUAUAGUUUGGUAAAAAAUCAAAACGAAGAGUUAACAAAGGAAAAGGAUUAAGACGUUGAAAAUACAAAACUGGAUUCUUUUAUUUGGUAAAGACGGUUCCCCCACUGGCUGUCUGAAACCACAAACACUUUUUACAUAGAAACUUUAUAAACUAAUAGAUUAAAAUAAAUCUAAGUGUUAUAAAUGAAAAAUCCUGGGAUUGAUAGUAAUGGCAUCAACAGUGCCACCACAUCCCAAAUAAAUGAAUGAAAAUAUAGUGAUUAACAUCCAACAAAGAAGCUCAAGCUUGAAAUAAACCAAGGCAUAAAAGCUUACCAAACUUUUCAAAUGGCUAAAUUGUUCAUUUAACAUGAUAACUUCUUCCUGCAAUCCAUAAGUAAGACCAUUAGAUGCGGUAAACAAAACAUCAUACUUCAUAUAUGGCAAUCUAGCAGAGAAACCAAUUGCAUUCAGAUGGAGCCUAAUUUGUGGAACUACAUUUAUAUGCACUGAAAUGCAUUAUCAUGUUGUCAUAUUUAAAAACUGAGGUUUAUGCAGUAUGCUAUCUUUAGCAUACACAAAAUUUUUGCCCCUCAUUUUUGAAGUUCCGCACUUCAUAAUUUAUAUACUUUCAGUUUCCCUUCUAAUGAAGGUAUGGACUGCUUUCCAUUUGGAAUUUUCGUAAGACAAUGUUAUGAUAUUCCUAAUUUAGAAUGUGUUUCCACUCUAAUGAAUGCAAGCCCUAAAUCAUAAAUAUUGUACAAUUAUGUGUUUGAGCACGUGGCAGGGCAUGAGAAUCAGAACCACUCCGUGUUGUUCUCCGCUUCGUGAUUUGGUCAUCAAACAAUACUUCAUUCCCUCCAUCCUUUAUCACGUCUUCUUGGUGAUCAUUUGUCCAUCUCCAAACUGUAUCCACAAAAAACUACAAAUUAAUCCCAAAAACAAUCAUACAAAAAAAUUGCGGAUUAGAUUUGAUUACGUACCAUUUUCCCAGGAUGUAGAGCUCAGUGAUGAUGCCCUCCUCGCUUUGCACCUUAAACAUCGACAUUUUAAACCAGAAACCAAAAUCAAACAAACAUAAAGAAAUACGACUGACAGAAUCACACUGUAAGACACCACUCCCUCGCUUCCACGGUUCCAACCACAACACCAAAAACAACAAUAACAAUAAUAACAAUGUACACUCAGACAAAACAAAAAUGCACCACAGCCCUCCAGUGCUAUAACAGCACUUCUCUUCUAGGACAACUUUGAUAUCUAUGGACUGUUCCCUUCUCCAUGUUACAACGAUAGUAUUAGAGCUCUUACAACAUCACAGAUGCAUGACCAAGAGUGUAUUCGACAACCUUUUCUCUGAUCCUUUUCAUCAGUUGGUCCUAAAGAUUGUAUUCUUCUAAAUUCAUCUUCUUUUUGGGUAUCCAGAGACAUUUAUCACUUCAUAUGCCGAACACAAAACACCUAACAUUUUGGGUGACAAAUUAGAAGCAACUAAUCGGAAUAUGGGUACUGAGAAUUGAAUUACUCUUUGUUCUUAUAGUCCUAAUGGAAAUUACUCGUUGAUUCACAAAAUUAAUCAAACUAAAAUGCAAGAAAAGCAAAAUCAACAACCCAUACAGAAUUAUGAAAAGAUCCCAACAAACCAACCAAACAAUUAACAUUUAAAAAAAAAAAUUGCAAAGUUGGAGGGAAAGAAGCACGAGAAAAAAUAUACACAUCCAAUGCUUUUAAUCUAAAGCUAGAAGUAGGAAUAACUGAGUAAGUUAAUGAAGGCAAAGCAGAGGGUAGGAAGCAGAACAUACCAAGAGACCAAUAGGGCAUCCGGGCCGGUCUGCCGAUGAACGCCGUGUCCUGGUCGACAACGCCCAACGGCGUCGGCCCUGCAAAGAAGUAAAAGUCGAAAACACUCCCAAUGACCUUGUAGGUGAGAGAAGUCCCUCUGUAGAACACAUCCAUGCCAUUGCUGUUGAUCAGCAUAACAGAGUGCGCGUAAGCCUCGUUGCCCACAUUCUGGAGAUCCAUGUAAAACCGGGUGGGACCCGUACAAAUCAGUGUUGAGAUUGAUCGCCGAGACUUCAGUGGUGAAGAGGGUGUGUGGAUCGUUCGGGUAGAGCUUGAUCCCGUGCGGCUGAGUGUUCUCUCCGAGGCCGUACAGGGAGGCGUCUUUCGGCGGUCGGGUGGAUAUCUCGAGGUACUGGUCCUUAAACACCAGUUCGCCAUAUGGGUCUUUGGAGUAGGAGCUCAAAUGAAGAGGACCUGCCCGUUGGACUUCCUCUUGAAGGCGAACCCAAAUGGGUCGGAGAUGAAGCUGAGAAUGAGCUCAGAGCCGGAGUAGUCUGAGACUUCGAUGGGGUUCUUCGUCUUCGCCUGAAACACGUUUUGGUUUCAAUUGAAAAGGCCAGAGCCUUGCAUGCGAGGAAGAUGACGAUAGGAUUCCAGAGAUAGAGAAAGAAGGAGUAAGACGACGGAGGCGAGAGAAGGAAGACGGCGGCAAGAGGAGGAUAGGACGGAGGCGAGACCAUCUGUAUCGUAGGUCUGUGAGACGUACAAGGCAAGGAGGGUUUGAGAAGGAAACGGAAAAGGCCUGCUUUACCAUUGCUAUUCCCUUCCCGCGAUCAUCAAGGCGUGCGCAACAAGAUCAGCGGCAGAGAGAGUCUGUGGCAAAUUUGUAUAUAAAUUGAAAUUCAUCCCAAAACAUUGUUCAUUUGAAUAAUGCAAUUGGAAUCCCUUCUUUAGACAAAAGUAAUUUUUAAGUAGAAUGCCAACUUAGAUUUUGAGGAAAACUAAUGAAAAUGACUUGAAAACUUUGAGUUUUAAUGAUAAGGACAAAAUAAAUGGUAAAGUGAAUAGUAUCAUAAUUGACUUUUUAGUGUAAAAAUAUGAUUUUUCGUUAAAAUGAAUAUUACCGCGGGUUUUUCAUUAAAACUCCCUAGAUUUUAUGCAAACCAAAACCUUACCAUUAUUCAUACUUGCCAGAAGGCCUCAGAAGUCUCCACUAAAAUGCUUCCCUAAGCACAAGUACAUAAUAAUGCCACUGACAACUAGCUCGUCGAUCACCUCAGCGCUGCGGUUAAUGCUUUCGGCGCCACUUUUACAUUUCACUCUUAGUAAGAUGAGAUGAAGACGGGUUCUCAGAAGAUCCAAUUCCGGUAUCUCAAUUCAAUUGCGCAAUUGUUCCUCGUUGUAACUCGAUCUUGAGUAUUGUACAACCAUCAUAUUGCCAACAGCCUUUGAGUCCCGACUACAAGCAGAAGCAUUUACCAAGUUGUCACAAGGCCCGUCAAUACUGGCAGUGUCAUCAGCGGAGGAUGAGUGAUUAAUCGUGCUUCUGUUCUUGUUUUCAGUUUCCAUUCUAUCAUUUUCUGUAAUGACACCUAGAGUUUCAGCCGCUUCAACCACUUGCGAUUCAACAGAUGUCUUGCAAAUAACAGCGGGAUCAAUAUCAUGGCUGUGGUAAUCAUCAGGAUGAGUUACUUUGCAUUGCUCUACAAACUCCAUUGUUGAGGAAAGGAUAUUCAUGUCCUUGUCCAUCGUAUUUUCUUGGCUAUUUCUAUUUAAGAUGUCAUCCUCAAAUCCGGUUGGAUUAGUGCGAGCAUCAUCUGCAGGAGACAGGUCUUCAUCUAUCUGUUAAACAAUGACCUGUGUUUGCUUUCAGAGAAGACACUGCUAGACACAACCUCGUCAACAGAAUGCAACCCUAGUGGGGAAAUGCAGAUGAAAGAGGGAUCAACUUUUCAUCGCCAGUAAUUUCUUCUCCAUAACUCUCAUUACAUACGCCAUUUCCACGUGCUACCACAUUACUCGGUUAGGUAGCCACUACCUUUGGUUCUCUCAGCAGCUACAUCUCCAUUACCACAGUUAUUCGCAUUUGGAGAUAAUACUUCCUCAUUUAUUGGAUCCUCAUUUACUAAUCCUUGAUCUCGAUUGGCAAAAGAUGCCACAUUUAUAGUGGUAUCAUUGCUUUCCAAAUUAACUAGUCCACUUAAUUGCUUCUGUACAAAGACUGCUAAAGAAACAGCAUGAUCACGAAUCAAAGAAUCAUGAGACGGGUAGUGUAGCAUAUCGAUCAAGGCCUUAUGGUACUGUGUGGCAGAUAUUAAUAACUUUGAGUAUAUGUUCACACAGGUUGCCCAUUUCUGCCCAAUGGCAGUUGCAAAUACCAAACUCGUCAAUAACUUUUGCACGAGUACCUUCUAUGAUAAUAUUGCAGUUAAGAAUCUUCAAAGCUUUACGCCAAGAUGUUAAACCACUCGCCCACUCAUCUUUCCAAUAUUGUGCAAAAUCAUCAUUCUCAGAAUAUUCAUCAAGCCAGAAGAAGGAAUGCACUUUUGUACCCAGCUUAUUAACCAACCAAUCAACUCGUUUUUACACUCUAGGUUUAUUCUCGUUCAAUAACCUAAGCUUUAGUGGCUGUGCUAGAACUCCAUUGCCGCAGAGGUUUCCUAGCUAGCAAGAGGAAGAGUUUGUAGUGCAGAUACCCACAUCCCUGAGUCAAAAGACAUUUUUCUUGUGCGAGUUAUUCAAGAUAAAGCAAAAGAAAAUUAAGGACCCUGUUUAAAGAGAAGGGGGUGAAGGAAUUAAACGACACACUUGUUACUUCGUAUCAUAAGGCAAAAUAUACCUCUACUAAAGAUGAUAGUAACUUAGCUAAUUCUAGGAUACUAAGUUGCCUUAAAGUAAUCUAUAAAAUCUUAUUCAUCAAGAAAAUCUUCUAUGAAGUCCUCAGACAAACGCUCGGCUCCUCGUUGUUGACAGAUGUUAUCCACUGCUUGACGAAGCCUUCUUGACAUUGUAGCUCGCAUCUCAUUGUCCACACAUUUCUUUACUAAGUUUGUAUGCCAUGCAUGAGGAACCCGCCAAAAGCUUAUCAACACUGAACACUGAAAUACAUCCCUGAGUAUAAUGAAAUAAAACUGUCAGUAUCAAGUUUGGGCGAGGACUGAGCAACCAACAGGAUGGUGAGCACAUCAGCUAGAGGAUCAUCCACUAUGAAACUAGCCAACUUCCAAACAGGAUCUUUCGUUUCAAUUCUAUUGUGAAGAGCUCUCAUCCAUUUAUGGGCAUUGGAACUUCCAAACUUUGGAGCCACUAUCCACGCCACCGGGAUAGUAAUAAUGUUGCAUGUCACAUCCCGGCCCGGGACAGAUCACUUCCCGGGCCCACUCCACCACCAUAGCACGAUAUUGUCCGCUUUGGGCUUACCAUUCCCUCACGGUUUUGUUUUUGGGAACUCACGAGCAACUUCCCAGUGGGUCACUCAUCCUAGGAGUGCUCUGGCCUCCUUCUCGUUUAACUUCGGAGUUCCUAUGGAACCCGAAGCCAGUGAGUUCCCAAAAGGAGUGAGUUCUCAAAAGGCCUCGUGCUAGGUAGAGAUGGGAAUAUACAUUUAAGGAUCACUCCCCUGGGCGAUGUGGGAUGUCACAAUCCACCCCCCUUAGGGGCCCGACGUCCUCGUCGGCACACCACGGCCAGGGUUAGGCUCUGAUACCAAUUUGUCACAUCCCGGCCCGGGGCGGAUCACUUCCCGGGCCCGCUCCACCACCAUAGCACGAUAUUGUCCUCUUUGGGCUUACCAUUCCCUCACGGUUUUGUUUUUGGAAACUCACGAGCAACUUCCCAGUGGGUCUAUCCUAGGAGUGCUCUGGCCUCCUUCUCGCUUAACUUCGGAGUUCCUAUAGAACCCGAAGCCAGUGAGUUCCCAAAAGGCCUCGUGCUAGGGUAGAGAUGAGAAUAUACAUUUAAGGAUCACUCCCCUGGACGAUAUGGGAUGUCACAUUGCAACAUGAACAUAUUCGGUUUCUCAUUAUUAUUAACAAUUGUAGUUAAUAAUAAAAGGUUAAACAAACUAAACGGACCUUCAAUUUGGUUGUUCCGAACCUUGAAUCAGAAAGCUAUAAGGCUGUGAUUGCCGAAGCAAAUCAUCUGUUGCAACUGCCACUCUGUUUGAAUGCCCAAAGUGAAAGGGUCCACAUAAGAGAAAUCCUAAUAGAAGAAAACAUGACUCUGAUGGUUUUCUACCCACAUGCUAAUGCUAACCGCAUCAUCAGCAUCCAAUUCAUAUAUAGAGCAUCGAAUGACCCUCUCCUGCCUCGAACAUACCUAUAGGUUAAAAGGUCAUCACGGUUAGAUGGACCACCCUGUUUCUCUACAGAUUCAUCGUGUCUCUGCAUUAUAGUCUCCACAGAGACCCCCGCAUAUAACAAAGAUUGUACACGAAGAAGCAGAUCCUCAGAGAUACAAGGGGCAAAUAUAGCACGUGUUCCAGCAGCCAUCUUAUCUUGUGGACCAUGGCAUGGCACUCAUUUCCUAUCUACAUGCUUAUCCUGAUUAUAUAUGAUACGCGCCACUAAAGAAUACCUAGAAUACCAUCAACCUUUGGUUUGUUAGGCGUCUAUGGCUGCCGCCGUCGCCUCGCUUCAACAUGAAAUCUUGUUGGACAUUCUUUAUUAGAGCAUUCACCCCUCAGAAAAUCGUCAACUCUAGGAAACGGAAUUAGAGCAACUCCAUCUUUCUUGUCCCGCCAACCUUCCACCUUUGACCACACAAGAUCAGAAGAAGAAAACUCCAGUGCAGGUGGACUCUGCACAGGAAGGGACAUAAUCUCAUCCCAUCUAGCCAUCUACAACAAAUAAAACGGAAAUGACAAAUUUAAUACAAUAGUCAUUUUAACAGAAGAAUCAAGACCAAAAUCCCAAUAGUCACACUCACACCUAACCCUUAACUAUUAGUUGAAUAAAAGGUUUUUCUAAUCGAAAAAAUGAACAAAAAUGGCGGAUUUUGCAACUGGCUUCGUAAAAUCACACGUUAAUAACAGUAAUAGAGGUCCUUUUUACUCUAAGCAGUACAAAAGAAAGUCAAAAACUUCAUAUCUGAUAACAAGAAAACAAACAAACAAACAAAAAAGAAGAAACAAUUUAAUUCAUGCAAUACAUUUCAUUCCCAACAAGAGAAGUUCAAAACUUUAGCAAACAAUUAAACUGAUUUCGUCUCUGUUUUCAUAAAUUCUCAGAAAUUAACAGUCGAAAAACACAAAUUAAAGGAAAAAAAAAGUGAAAUUCUUUGGGUUGUCAAAUAGAGAAAUUAUAUUCACACACCCAAAAUUUCUUCCACACAUUUUUAAUUUUUAUUUUAUUUUCUACACACUACUAACACUUGAUAGAAAAAGAUUAAAAAAUUAAAGGAUGUGAGGGAAGUAAUUUAGGAUGUGUGAAUAUAAUCUCCCUUUUAGAUAAGUGAAGUCGUUAGCUUCAGAGUCACACAUUGAGCUAUAUCGAUAUGUAUAGUAUCACGCCCUUUAUGCAAAAAGAUCCCCAUUUUUUCAAAAAAAUGGGGAUUAGGUGUAGGUCCACUCCACAACGAACUUUAAUGAUCUGAAUCGUUUAUUUUGUAAGGAACCAAAUCCCCUGCGGAUCCCUAAAAACUGAGCCUUCUGAGCAAAGAAUUAGGACAAUUGAAAUUUGAUCAAACGGUUACAAACAGGGCCCCUCUAAAAGUUAUAAUAAUUGUAGUCAUUGGAUUAAAUUUCAACGGCCCAAAUUCAUUGCUCAGGGGGCUCAGUUUUUGGGGAUCCAAUUCCAAUUUGUAAGUCUCAUUUCAUAGAUUAUUCUUACAAGAAUUCAAUUCAAUCCAAAAUCAUUUAUCUAUUUUGUAAGUCUCAUUCCAUAAAUGUCAUUAUAUCAUCAUUUCACGUGCUACCACAUUAUUCGGUUCAGCAGCCACUUUACCCUUGGUUCUCUCAGCAGUUACAUCUCCAUUCCCACAAUUACUCAUUUGAAGAUAAUACUUCCUCAUUCAUUGGAUCCUCAUUUCCUAAUUCUUGAUCUCGAUUGGUAAAAGACGCACAUCCAUUGUGGUAUCAUUACUUUCCAAAUUAGCUAGUCCACUUAAGGGUGCGUUUGUUGCACUGGAAUGUCUCGGAUUGGACUAGCUUUAGGAACUAAGCUGGAUUGUCUUAGAUUAGCUUAAUGAAGCAUUUGAUGCAGUAUCGGACUAAAAAGUAGGAUAAAAAUUAAUUUUCCUUUUUUUUUUAUCCAAAAACAAAGAACUCUAUCUGUCUCUCCAUUUUCUUUGGUCAAACUAUCUCUCCUCCUUUUUCUCCAUCUCUUCCAUUUUCCUUUCCCGUCCAAUUCCUUUUUCCUUUUCUUCUCGAUCACAAAUAUACACAGUUCACAUGCAAACCAAUUUUCCAUCAGACCAAACAACACCCAUCACCUGCCUUAUCAAUCCAACAAAAUUCCCAAACUUUCCCACCCUAAAAUUUGACAAUUCCAUUCAAAUUAAACAAAAGUUAGAGCUGGAAAACUGAGGAAAGAAAAAGAGAGAGAGAGAGAGAGUAAACGGAUCACCAAUAGUAGGAGGCGGCAACGCCAUAUAGUUUGAGGACGAGCAGUAGCGUAAAGGAGAAGAGGAGGCUAUGGGCCGCCAAGGCCUGCACGAACUUCAACAUUCUCCGCUAGUUCAUCAUCAUCGUAAAACAAUGUCGUCCGCUGCAAAAGUCGAGACUUUAGAUUGUGAGAAAUCUUAGGAGGAGGUUGAUGUUUCAGUAUACGCCAUUGAAACGAAAGAGGCAAGAAAUAUUCUUUCUCUCCUUCUUCUUUUUCAUCGUUCGGGUUGACCUAGAUGGCAAAAAAUCCCAAAUCACCAACCCAGAUGCCAAAAUGGCGCUGGGUUUGCAGGACGAUGGAGAUCAGAGACAACCGUUUCUGGAGAAGGGGGGUUAAUGCUACUCAUGUGGGUUCGUAGGACGCUGCUCGCAUACCAGGGAGACGGGACUAGCAAUCCCGUUGUUUUUGGGGGGCCUCGCUAAGACCUCCUAGUGAGGGAUUUAGUCGAGGCGAGUCCUCCUUUGUCCCAUUUACCUUUAGUCCCGCCAGUGAACAAACAUGGAUUGCACUAACUUUUAACUUAAGCGUCGAGUGAGAACUAAAGAAGGCAAACAAACACCCCCUUAAUUGCUUCUGUACAGAGACUGCUAGAGAAACAGCAUGAUCAAUUGAUUUUGACGGAGUUCUUCAGCUUAAUUUAUUAGUUUUGGAUUACAUUGCUCUUGUUUAAACUUUCAAGUAAUCUUUUUCCAUAUGAUUACUUCUAUUUAAGGGCUCAUGGCUUGGGAAUUGUUAUGCUAUUAUCACCUAAAUGCUCAUGUAAAUUGAAUUCGAUCAAAUUUUUACUAGAGUAGUCGAAUUUCUAUUAGAGUUGUUCUUAGUCAUGUUUGAAUUGCCAUGUUUAUCUUAUAUUUUCUUGAUGCAAACCUGGUCAUUUUUUUAUCUAUGCAUCCAGAGCAACAAUCAUGUGAUUUCUUGACAAUGAAUUGGACUUGUUUUUUUUUUUUUUUUUUUUUUGCACUUUAGUUGUUUAUAGUAACAAAUUCACUUGAUCAAUUGAUAUGUUCUUUCUGUAUAUAUAAAAAAUAUGUGCUAAAAUUCUUAAGUGUGUAUCAAUACACACACACACACACACACACACACACACACACACACACACACACACACAUAUAUAUAUAUAUAUAUAUAUAUAAUUGUAUACACAGAUGGUUAAGAAGGAAAGUAAUGGGGCAAGUGGAUCACAACUGCCAGCUGUAUGGAAUGCUCACAAUACAUCACUAUUUUGUGACGUGUGUAUCAAGGAAGUGGAGGCAGGAAAUCGUCCUGGUACCCACUUUAAAAAAGAGGGAUGGGAAAAUGUGAGUAUUAACCUAAAUAAAGAGACUGGAGAUGAGUAUAGUAAACAACAGCUAAAAAAUAAGUGGGAUGCACUUAAAGAGCAAUGGAAAUUAUGGAAAGAACUAAAGGGAAAAGAAACUGGUCUAGGAUGGAAUCCCAAGCUCAACACCGUUGAUGCUUCGGAUGAGUGGUGGCAUAAUAAAAUUCAGGUUUGUAAGCUUCUUGUUAGUUUCUGGAUGUUGUUUGUCUAUUAUUGAGCUUGAAUGCAUUUUAAUACUUGUUUCUUUAAAUUGCAGAUCAACAAAAAAUAUAAAAGUCUGCGUAGAAAAGGAAUUAGCCCUGAUAUGGAAGAUAAGCUAGAUAGGAUGUUCAUGAAUACCACUACUGGUGAUCAUGCUUGGGCACCCUCGUCUGGUGUACUUCCAUGUGAAAAUAAUGAUGAAUCUGAUGAGGAUGAUGGCAUUCAAAUUGACAGUAGUGAUUUUGAUGAUGUUAUCCCACUCAAAAAUACUCAAGCCGAUGAGAAGUAUUUGGGGAAGAAGAAAAAAAGAACUCAACAAUUUGAUACACAAGUUAAGAAAGAGAAUAAGGAUAAAGGAGUUGUUGCAAAGAAGGGGAAAUUGGGAGGUGCUGCUAAGUUGUCAGAACAGAUUGAUCGUAUGGUUAGUGCAAUUGAGAGUAGAAAUACAACAACUUCAAACAUGGCCAAGGGCUUACAAAAUAGUAGCAUUGCUGAAGUGAUGAAGAUAGUUUCAUCUUUACCUGGUGCAGGGCCUGGGAGCCCUUUGUGGUUAUUUGCAACUCGAUUAUUUCUAAAACAAGAGAAGAGAGAAAUGUUCUUAACUAUAGAAGAUCUGGACAUCAAGUUUCAAUGGCUUAACUAUGAGCAAGCUGAAAAUUAAGUGCCAUGUGAUGCAUUUAGUUUGCAAAGUUUUAUAUUUCGUGGUAGACAGUAUAGUCUAAGAUAUCUUUAAACUUGAGUUUAUUAUUUUGAUUUGUCAUUUGGGAUGGUUACUUGGAUUUCUUUGUGUUUUACUUGGGAUUAUAAUUGGAUGGUUUUGGAUUCUUUAUUUAAGAAUAAUUUUUUUUCAUGCAUGUACUCCUAUUUGUAGGAAUAAUGAUGAGAUUUUUAUUUUUUUUUCAAAAUUGCAGAUCUCUUUCAAGAUAUGGACAUCUUGCAAGAUGAGGAAGAGUUCAACCAAACUGUAUGCCUUUGUGUUCGUACUAUAGAACAUUAUUAUCAAACAUAUAUCCACAAAACACCUUGUAUGGAUUCAUCUCAAACAGGAUAUAAGUGGUUAAUGGAAAUAUUACGGGGAAAGAGGCGUUGUCAUAGGAUGUUCAGAAUGGAUAAAGAGGUAUUUAUGAGAUUGUGUAGUGACCUGCAAAACAAGUAUGGAUUGAGGGGUUCAAGGAGAAUGUGUCCUGGUGAAAUGUUAAGAAUGUUUUUGUUUAUUCUAGGACAAGGUGAAGGGAAUAGGUCAGCACAAGAACGAUUUCAACACUCCGGCGAGACUGUGAGCAGAUACUUUAGUCAGUUACUUGAUAUUGUAUGCCUUAUGGCUGUUGAUGUUAUCAAACCACUGGAUCCUAUGUUUAAUGGUGUCUCUGCAGAGAUAUUAAGCGACUCUAGAUAUAUGCCCCACUUUAAGGUAAAAAAAAAACUAGAUAUGAUACUUCUUGCUUUGUCUUAUGAAUUAAGUUAUAUUUAUUGAAAAUUGUGUUAUAAUAUUAUUUGCAGAACUGUAUUGGUGCUAUUGAUGGUGUACAUGUUCAAGCCACAAUACCUCCCGGAGAUCAAAUACCAUAUAUUGGCAGGAAAGGGACACCAACUCAAAAUGUAAUGGCCGUAUGUAAUUUUGACAUGCAAUUCAUCUUUGCAUGUGCAGGUUGGGAAGGAACUGCACAUGAUACAAGGAUAUUUUUAUCUGUUUUACGAAACGGUGCUUUAAAUUUUCCUAAGCCUCCUAAUGGUAAUGUCUCAAACUUGUGCAUAUGUUUGAAAUUUUGCAUUUGAUUAGACACUUUUUAUAGUUUCUUUUUAUAUCAUAGUAGCAUGUUUUGAACAUUACAGGAAAAUAUUAUCUUGUGAAUGCUGGGUACCCACAGAUGAGCGGCUAUUUAGGACCCUAUAAAGGUGAAAGGUAUCAUCUUCCUGAUUUUCGUAGGGGCAGAGAACCAACAGGAUCUAGAGAGGUAUUUAACCACAUACACUCUUCUCUUAGGAGUGUCAUUGAACGCACUUUUGGUGUAUGGAAAAAGAGGUGGAGCAUUUUAAGAGACAUGCCUAGUUACUCAUUUAAGAAGCAAGUAAAGAUAAUAAUCGCAACUAUGACGCUUCACAAUUAUAUAAGAAGGUAUGCCCGACGUGAUAAUCAUUUUGACAACAUGAAGGAUGACUUGGAUGAUGACACAAACUCGGAUGAAGAACAAGAAGAAUAUCAUAUUACCGAAGGACCCGAAGCACAAGAAAUAGAGACAUUGAGGAACAACAUUGCUGCAAGUUUGAUGUGUUCGUAAUUUUUUUUAUGUAUGCUUAUUUUAUUUUAUUAUUGUUUGAAGACAUUGAAGAAAAUUUUAUUUAUUUAAUAUUUGUUGUUUUUUUUUAACUUUUGGCAAUGCAACUACAAAUGUCAAAAUAAUUUGAGGGAAAAAAGAUUAGAUAUACUUGUGAGUCAUCUUUUUAACCAAAAAGUUAAUAGAAAACUAUUUUUCUCAUUACUUUAGUCUAAACUAGAAAAUGUGCCCGCGCGAUGCUGCGGGACUUAAAUGCAUCACCUUUAACUACAUGAAUAAGAUACAUUUCACCUAAAUAAAUUCAACACAAUCAUGAAUGAAGAGAGGAAUAGAUGAGUAAAUGGGGUCGGUAAGAUAUGCAACUUCGUUUUUAUAUACAUUGAACUGAACUCACAUGAAAAGACAUUGUACAAUGAACAGGACGAAACUGAAUGUUUUGGUUCCCUAAACUGAAACCCCUUGUCUCAGACACCCAACACCUCUCACCCUCAGAUAGCCCUAAACGAAGUGCCUCGUAGCAUCGAAUUGGCCUACAACACCCCCGAGCGAGAUUGAGACUACUUUUCAUAUUUUCAUUUUAAUGUACCAGCAAGGAAACGAUAGUAUAUUCCAAAAUUAGCAGUUUACAGAGAAAUAUAAAUAUUGUUUUCAAGAAAUUAAUAUGAUUGCAAAUGUAAUAGCUCCAUGCAUAGUGAGGUAGGAUAAAUGAUGGAAGACACACUGAAAUUUGAGGUCCAUAGGUUGAGAAGAGUCCAUAGCAUUGAUCCAGAUAUGGAUAGCUUGCACAGAUCUACAAUUCAAGCUCCGAAUAAAGUAUCAAUUUAUCAGCAAUUGUGACAUUCAUUAUUCCUAAAAAAGUUAUUGAUUCACAAAUAAACAAAUGAAAGUAAUCAGAAAAGAAACGCUUACCACAUGCUAGCUGAAUCCGAACUCAAAAUGACCACGAUAUUUUCCCAGCAAUGAUCACAAAGAGAUUGAUGCUUGGGACUUCUGUCCAUCCCUGAAAACAAUGGAAUAAUAUACCCAUUAAAAAACGUCACAAAAAGAUUUACAGUAACUGUCCCAACUAUUAUAAUUAUAUGGUCUUAUUGGCAUAUUCAGACUACAAAAUAAAAGCUGGCAGUUGUUUGCACUCGUAAACAAUUUCUCUUUACAAAACUAAAUAAAUUGUAAUGACCCAAGAAAUCAAAAUUUGAUUAGGCAUUAGAAACAAUGUUACCUUUUGGAGAAAAGGAUGCUCAACCAAAUGGAAGCCCAAAUUUAAAACAGCAACUGAAUGAAAAUCUGACGUUAUAAAAUCCAUAAGAAGCGUGUAAUGCGUCUAAUUUAAAAAGUCUCUCACACAUGUAAUUGCACGUAGGACGCCAGAUUCAAAAAAAAAAAAAAAACCUUGAAACCAAAGGACUGCAAAGGAUUGCUUUGUCAUAGAAAGUAAAAGAAUAAAUUGAAUCAACUGAACAUGCUUCUUGCAAACAAAGAAAGUAAAAUACGGGGGAACAAAAUCACAAAUCAACAUAGGCAUCUCUUAAGAAUUUAAAUAACCAAGAUUUUGAUGAACUGAUUGUAAGCAUAUGUGCAUAGAUGUCACUAUUUACAUAAAACAUGUAAAGGACAAUCAGUUUUGAGUUUCAAAAUAUAAAAUAUUAAAAUUUCCAUAAAAGAUAAGUAUUGGGAAACAAAGUUGGCAUCUCACCUUCCACAAUAGGUCGACAAAUCCUUUGAUUACGCUUUAGCUUCUUGUUUAACUGAAACACAAAUUCAUUGUUCAGAAUAUCAUAAUUUCAUGAAAUGGUUCACCUUUGAUUACGCUUGCUGCUUAGUGACUUGAUAAGUCGGUCACAAAGAUAACAUGUAGAAUGCAAAUAUGGAUCAGGAAAAAACAACAGCUAUAGAAUUGAUUAUAUAGAAGAAGAAUACAUACUUAUUGUGAGGUUAUCCCAGCUAUCCACUAUGACCCAAUAUAUAUAGCAAGUAAAAACUAUGGCAGCAAAGAUCUCACGUAUAUAAAUCUUGCAUAAACUUUGUUUUUGUACAAUGUCUUCUCCCUUCAAUGACAGUUUGUUUCUUAUUCAGGAAAAUAAAAUGAGCAGGUUAAUGAUACUCACAUGUGCAAAAUGCUAAUCCUAUGGUCUAAAGUUAACUGAAUUUUUUAGUGUAAAAUACCUAAUUUCACUGCAUUUCAAUUGAUCACAGUUCGUGCCUUGUUAAACUUGAUAUACCCUUAGACAUUUUGGGAACUUGACAGCUUAAAUUUUCUUUAGUUACAGAUGUGCUCAUAAAAGCAAAUUACAGCGACCCAAUAUAUACUAAAAACUUGGAGAAGGGACUCAAUUAGUUAACGAACAGGUGCCUCGCCUUUCAUGUUAAGACCAAAGAGAGAAAACCAAGCCGAACUCUUCAAAAUUCAUUGGCACACAUGCAUCAUCAGCUCAAUUGAAUGGAUAAUGCAUACUUAGAUACAACCAUUCAAACAAUUGAUGUAGAUUGACAUAAGCCUCCAAACUUCAAAAAAAUUGAAACCUUAUAAAAGCAAAACCUUUUUUCCUUCAUAUUUGAACUGUUUCGAUUACCUUAUCUCUCUAUCACUUGAUUCAUUAUUUCUAAAGGAAGUUCUAAUCACUACCAAAACAGCUUAAUAACAGUUGAUUAUCUAAAAAAAAAAAGAGGGAAAACAUGAAAUACUAACUGCACUCAAAAUCCCAAAUGUGUAACACAUGAUUCUAAUCUAAACCCUGAUUCUAAAAUUUAGAAUUCGACACAAAAAUGAAAAUUGGAAUGAUUAACAUGGAAAUGAGAGAGGGAGAAGUGUGAGGGAAUCUACACAUGAGGGCUUCGGAUCUGAGUCCAGAGCUGGAAGCGGCAGAGGUUGCGAACUUAAGAGUAUGGAAGAGGCGGGAAGGAUCCUUGUAAAAACAAUAAAAAUUAAAUAAGAAACUCGCCGGAAACUCGGAAAACCUCGUCGAAAAAACUGGACAGCAACUUACCUCGGAUUCACCUUUAACUCGUAACAAAUCUUUUCACAUUAUUCUCUAUUGCCACUUGUACUUCACUCAGUACUAAUCGAUAUAGCUGAAAGUCUGAAUCAUGAAGAAUGAGAAGUUGAAGUAUAUCAAAUGAUAAAGUUGUCAACAAUGAAGAAUGGGACAUUGACCAUGGAGACACUGCAAGAAGCAAAAGUGAGCAAAUUAAAUAAAUACCAGCAUCAACAUUUAGAAAAAAGUAAGAGCAGCAACUAUAAAUGAAGAAUGUGCAAUCAACAUUAAAAGUGUAUAAUAGGAACACGGAUCUCAUAACUAAAAGACAUUUUCUCACCAAACAAUGGAAAAUAAUUGGAGAUGCAAUUCAAUAAAAAAAGAAGUUAGCACUUGCUUAUUGCCUUCCAAAGAAGCUAAUGAAUCCAUCUGGUUGAAGAAGUGUUUAGCAUUGCCAGUAAAAACAACAAAAAUCACAUCAAAUUUCAAAUUAAUCAACUCAAUAGCAUGCGUACCUUAACAUCUAGAUGACGAAACAUUGGUUCCUCGAACGAAUCGUAAAGAUCACAAACACAAAUCAUGAAUUAGAGUUCGAAUACGCAUCUCCCGAUUUGAAACCCUAACGUAAUUCCCCACUUGGAAGAUGCAACCUUUGGGGUUCUGGCUGCUAGGGUUGAGAUGUUAAACCUUUGACUAAGAAAAUGACAUUGGGCAGCAUAGGAUACAUACUGCUCCCCCAGAUAGACCUGCAUGAAGAUUUAUCCACCAUCACAUGCGAAAAGGAAGAUGGUCAGUAUAUGUGUUUUAGUAAUCAAUCUAUAUUUGAAGCAAUGAAAAAAAAGCAUAUGACAUGAGCUAUCAUAAAUUAAAAUUAUCAACAAUCUCUUCCCAUUACGAAACAUAGAGAAACUACAAACCAUAACAAAUACAUUGAAAUACGCAAAUAUGCAGCAAAUCCCUCAAGCAAUUAAGAAAAAAAAUGCCUCUUAAAUCAGCAACCAAAUUCAAAUUAACAAAUGUCUCCAUAAAAGAAGUAAAAUGGAUGAAAAGAUACCUGGCUUUUUCAAAACAAUUCAAAUUCCACAACAUUUCAUUCAAAACAGUUCAAAAUUCAUAACCCCUCAAGCAAUUGGGGCUGUAAGUUACGUAAUCGGAUGGCUACAACCAAACGAAGAGCUUCAAUCAAUUAAAGUCAACAAAAUAUCAAUAAUUAAUCUAAAAAAAAAAAUUAAAUAAAUGAACACCAGGGGACUGAGGAAUGCUACUAAACAUCAGUAAGAACAGAAACGAAUAAUUUAAAUGCUUGAGCUUCAAUGAAAGCAUUUUACCCUUGCAAUUUUCCAAGAUAGCGGAGAGGCAAGAUGCACAUGUAUUAGUGAGAGGAUUUUCAAAGAUAUUGAGCACUUCCAAUCGAGCAGAUAGCAAAGGGCAUUCGCAAAUCUGAAGAUUGAAAUUAUUGAUCGAGACAGCCAAAUGAAUAGAGAUAUAAUCAUACAAUCCCCAAAAUCCAAAUCCAAAUCUGAAACGCCUGAUCCGUUUCUGGAAAAUGGCAGAGAAAAAUAGAAGAACUACGUUUUUAGAUGACCGGAUUGAAUUUGAGGCAGAGAGAGGGGGAGAGAAAGAGGGAGGAAGAGAAGCAGAAAAGCGAUAGAACAAAAUGGAAGACGCUUGAAGGGUCUUCCUUACCAACGACGUGAAAUCCAAUUGCCAUUUCAAGCUCCCUCAAUCACGACCUGUAGGAAAAUAUCAAACCCAAACAUAAGUUCACUGAAAUUCGAAUUCAAUAUAAUCAAACACAAACAAAAUAGCAAAAUUAAAAUAAAUAAAAAACUAAACUAAACUAUAAAUUAAAACUUUCAAUUGAAUAACCCCACAAUUUAAAUUACUAAACAGUAACAGAUUUCUCUGAGUAAUCAACUUCUCGAUUAUGGUCAUCGAACACGACAUUCUCCAAAACUGCCAAACACAUGCAACCAUAUUUGAUAAGAAUUUGAAAUAUCACUCCAAUCAUGACACAGAACAUAAACAUUUUGCGCACUGUCAUUUUUAAAGUAGAACGUUCAAUUAAAUCAUGAUGUUAAGUACCAGUCCCAAAUUUGAUAGCAUUCCAAAUAUCUGGUUCCUUGUCCAUUGACAAAUCAAUGCACUUGGCAUAGCAACCACCUUCAAUGUUUGACACACCAUUGUUGCCCCAGCAGUGCUCAUCAUCUCCAAUUAGAUACCGAUUAUGAUCCGUAGACAGAGUCGUCUUCCCAGUGCCUGCAACAAACAUCCCAGGAUCAGUUACACGAACACAAAAGAAACUGAAACACAAAAGAUUGAUGUAUCCAUCACCAAUUGAUCAUUGUACACAUAAAAUUAUCAUGAUUCAUACCUCUGCGUCGAUAUGGAAUUUUAUAAACUGGACAAAUGGAACCCAAUUUCAUCGACUUCACGGUGCAAGUGCUGUAAAAAAAUAAGCAAACACUGGCAAUAUGAUCAAGCACAUUCCAAGUAUUAAUACAUCCAAAUAAAACCUAACAUUCAUAUGCAAAUAACAAUGAAGGUAGAGAUUACUUGUAAGAGAUGAUUGCAAUUGAGUGAAUCCGCAGAACUCAGUAGACUCAAACUGCAAAACAGAUGGGGAAAAAUCAAACCCAUUAACAGAGUGAAGAAAUUUUUUAAAUCUUUAAACGAAUUCUGGACAGAAUCAUGUAAAGGGUCUGUUUUGGCUACCGAGAAACUUAGUAUACAUUUAAAUAUUAUUACAUGUUAAUACAAAAAUUUAGCUUUAUUCAGAUGGGAGAGAUCAAAGGUUGCAUCAUUCAGCUUCACACAUGGCUACAACACAAUUUCAAAAACUCUUGUCAUCUCAAAGUCACAUUCUUUAUCAAACUCCCACUCCAUAAUCGAACAGAGGUUGAUAACGGACAAAAAGAAACACAAAGUACGAAAUAUAAUCAAUAUCAUCAGUCAAAACUUACUGCAAAGGGUGAGGGGUCAACCAUGUGAUUUUUUGCCCCUUAACCUCGGCCUGCAUGGACAAACAACGGAAGAAUUCAUACCCAAAUAACACAAUAACAUAAAAUGGCAGGAAUGUAAAUAAUACAAAAUCGAGGGUCCAACACACGUUGAUAUGUCAUCGUGGUUUCCAAUUGAACCAUGAAUUCCAGAAUGUAAAUCAUACCUUGAGUAUAAGAAAACCAGAAAAGGAAAAUUAAAUCCCUCACAAAUGGUGGAAGAAAAUAUGAGAAACCUAUAUUAGUCCCAACGGUGUGAGUUUUCAUCAAAGAAGUAGACAAUCCACACGCUAAAUCACCAAUCAAACAUGAAGAUGAUCACAAAGAAGAAAUCCCUAAAACCAAUAUUUUAUUAGAGUUGAAAAUCGAAAUUAAGCCAAAACGGAACCGACACUACCCAAAUUAAGCUAAAAAUUCACUAACCCAACAUAAAGGCAAAGAAAAAUCACCUCUAGAUGACUGCCAUUGAUUCAAUGCAAAGAGAGCUCAAGCUGCUUAAUAUUGUUCUGAAAUUAGAGAGAGGGUGUGAGAGAUCAUGAGAGGACGGAGGGGCGAAUGGCGGAGUGAGAUUCAGCGCGUCUCUUCUCUGCAUAUAAAAGAUGCCGCACAAUUAUGCAACUUACUCCAUAGACUUAUAAACAUCACAAUUAUAAAUUCUGAAACUGAUAUAAAUUGAAUAGAAAUACACAAAGCAUAAACAAAUUCAGCAUAUGAACACCAAAACUUACCAAACUCAUGUGCUUGCUUGAAGCUGUUUUUGAUCAUUUUUCUACAAUCUACUGCAUAAAAAGGACCAAACUAUAACGGCAAACUAUAUAUAUAAUUUGCUAUAAUACCCAAAAAAAUUAAAUUACAUUAACAUUUGAGUGGAAGCCACGACCAAAGUGGUAAAAUUGAAGAAAACAUCAAAAUCCCAGAAAAAAAAACAAAUUCUUUCAGAAAAAAUCAAAGAAAUUUACUCAGGUAAUCAAUCAAUUAUGUACCUAAUUCCCCUGAUGUCUUGAAUAAAUAUAACACUCCAAGAUAAAUUAACUACCCAAUAUUAAUUUUUCCUGUUUCUUUCUUCUUAUUCUCGGGAAAGAAACAAACCCAAAACAAAUAAUUGAAGAAAACAUACAGAAAAUAUUGGGGAGGAGUAACAUACAAUCUGCUGAGUUCUUAUUCGCUUUGUAGAUAAGAGAUGGUGGCUUCUCAUCGAGUUCAUGUAUGUAUUGCCUGGAGUGAGAUGGUGAGCGGGCGUGAGAGAAUAGGGCAGUGAGAGAGAGUCGGGAGAGAAAAAGAGGGAAAGAAAUGGCGAUGGAAACGGACGGAAACGUAGUCGAAGCAGAGCAAUCCACGAUGAUUAACGCGUGGGCGCUCUUAAACUGUGCAAAAGCAGUGGUAAUUUUGUAAAUAAAUCGAAAUUUUCAAUUUGCGGUGAAGAGAUGAUGGUAAUUUUGUAAAUAACUCAAAAUCCACUCCAAGUUACUAUUCAUUUGAAUAGUGCAAUUGAAAAGCUUUCUUUAGACAAAAGCUAGAAAAAAUGCCCGCGCUUCGCUGCGGGUUUUGAAACUAUUAGCCAUAAUAGACGUGAAUAAUUGGCACGAAAAGAUGCAUUACAAAGGCGACACAAAUGGAGUCAUGUCCUAAAAUGAACCAGUGCAGAUGAAUAAUUUGCAAAAUCACAUUCAGUUUCAUUUCUAUAGGUCAAAAAACAAAGAAAACAUGUAUAUUAACUUGUCAUAUUUUAUAAAACUAAAAGCAUGGACAAUUCAGUGCACCUUGGUUGCACAUUUGUCAUAUCCAGCAGCUCACAUCGGCCACCCCCCACUGGAAUCCAAGGCUGAGGGAAGCCAUCUGCGGGAGUUGUCAUCUGAAGCACCACUCUUAUCUUUGCCUUUGUCUGAUUUGAUAUGUUGCUUACUAUUGCAUGGAUGCCAAGUAGCUUCAACAGCCUUCGAUGUACACAUAUCUGAAAUGCGGUCUUGUCCUACUGUUAGAAGCAAAGAUAGGAGCCCUAAUAGCAUAUUCUCAAGAGCUUCAUAGAGAGCUCUUUUGUUUCUCUUUGUCAACCACUGCAAGGAUUGCAAUUCAAAUUUAAUCAAAAUAAUUCAUUUCACAUUCAUAAUAAACCCGAAAGUGACUUGAUAAGAUGAAAUUAACCCAAUUACGUGUGAAAGGAAACCUUUCCAAUUAAAUGAAUGAAAUAUUUGAUGUGGAUCAAAACCAAAACCAAAUGAAAACAAAUAUCGACAACUGCCCAAGUUGGUGUUUGCCCCAAAGGUCUUCCUCCUCCUCCUCCUGCCAUCCUUUAAUUGAAACCCUAAUUUUCCUUACUACUAAAUAAUGCUAUUUUCGAUCUAUUUCUUUCGGUGUGUAAACUUUACUAAUUCUCGAUAAUUUUCAAUCACUUCCACUGUAAUUAAAAUAAGUACUGAGUAUAUACACACUCAUAAAAACACAAAUUCAGUUUUCCAUUCUAAAAAAUGAACGAAAGCACAUACUCCAAGUCAAUGUUCCUACUAUAUUCAUUAAUCCAACGAUGCAUCAAAUAUAAAAAUUAAAUUAUACCUCUAAUUUAUAACCUUUUGAUCUUGCUUCAUCUGCAGCUAAACCAAAAUUUGGACAAUCCCCAAUAUAAUUCCGUCAAAAUCCACAUAGCAACACCAUGUAAGAAUCAUAUUGGGUGUCUACACCCACACUUAUCAAUGUACACAUAAAUUUGAAAUCUGAAUCACUUGGGCUUCAAAGAAGGCCAAAAGUCUUUGUAUUCAAGCAUUUAAUACUCUACAGAAAUUAACUAAACACAGCCACAUUGAAUACCAAACCCACUUACUUACCAUCUUAUCCAACUCUUAUUUCGUAAAUUUUUCUGGUAAAGAAGCGUAGUUUAUCCUGAGCUCUGCAAUAGAAUAAUUCAAUUCUUCUUCAUUGCUUUUCAAUAGGAUCCCUACAAUCAAACAAACAUAAUUACUCUAGUAAAUAACUUCAAUUUAAAAUGCAAAGAUAUAACAGAAAGGAAAGUGAUUAAUUAAAAAAUAAAACUGUUAAAACAACAGACUGAUACACUUAACAUGCCAAUUUAUAUACUAUAUAACAAUACUAAAUCAAUUAAUUUAUAAAGAUUAGAAAUGGAUUACAAAAAGCAGAAAUCUUAUUUGGCAUGUAUGAAAAUGAUACACACAUUCUUAGCCAAUCAGCAUGAAAAAGGUAUAGAAAACUAAUUUACUUUGUUAACUUUGGACAACUGGAGAGAUGAAAGAACUCUUAGUUUUUACUAUAAGUAUGACAACCAUGUGAUUUCAUUGUUAAUUGGGACUGAUGUGUGUCAUUAGGAUUGCCAAAAUUAGUGAUCUUAGAGUUUGGCAGCCAAUGACCGAAUUGGACUCAAGUUUAUCAACAUUUGAUUCAACUAAACUAAAUUGGAUACGCUCAUUAGCAUAGAAAUAUGUAUACCAUAUGACAAUAUUGAAUCAAGUUAUUUGCAAAGAUUUAAAAUGCAAUGUAAAAAGGAAAAAAUUUAUUUUAUAUGUAAUAAAAUGAUUAACAAAUUUUUUAUUGAGCAGUAUAAAAAAGGUAUUAAAAACUAACCUAAUUUAUUAAGUUUGGAAAAAUUGGACAGAUAAAAGAAAGCUUUUAAUCCUUACUAUAACUAAAAUAACUAUGUUAUUUCAUUAUCAAAUAGGAUUCAUACGUGUAAUCAGGGUUAAGAAAAUCACUGAUUAAAGAAUCUGCCAGAAAUCAUCAAAUUGGACUUGAACUUACCAAUUUCUGAUUCAAAUAAACUAAGAAAAGGAGUUGGAAUCAAACUAACCUCUGUUUUCUAUAUGCAGCAAACUGCAUCUUGUUUUUGCCCUUGUUAACAACAUAUCUUCGCUCUGUACACACCAAAAAACAGUAAACACCUCAUUCAUUACUAACAGCCAUUUCAAUCAAUUAAUUAUUUAGACAAAUUUUUCAACGAUUCCGAAGCUCAGACAAAAAUUGCAUGAGAAAAUUGAGAUUAUAUGCAAUUGGAUGUCAAAGAACCUGAAAAUACCAUAUAUCCAAUAUUUAGUGCAUACACCUAAAAACUAAUCUUUAUAUAUACUUUAAAAUAAUACAGAUCAAUGUAAUCUAAAACAUUGGAAAUGCAUAUCAGUGCAAGCCAAGGUCUCAAGUUCUCAGAGUGGGGAAUUACUGAUUAGAACAGUUAAUUCUCUGCUCCUUUUUGGGUAUGAACUAAUUAGCAUAGUAGCCAUAAAAAUACGAAACAAAAGCUCAAUAAUUUAUGCAAUUUGGUUAAAUUUUAUACAAUUUCUAGCAAAACCCAAAACUCAAUAAUACAAAAGGAACCCAAUAGAUGAUUAAAGCAAUUUUAUACACAACUUAUGCAAGUCCAAAGAAACGCAUUUGAUCAAACUUACUGAAUACUGAAAAAAAAAAUUACAAUCAAAGUACGGAUUAAUAACUACCUCAACAACUAACAGAGCCAAAGCCAAACCCUAGAGCUUCGAAGGGCAGAGACGAUCACAGAGACAAGAAUAGUCCUUAUUCCUUCCCACUGCUGCUGCUGCCACUUUCUCUCUCUAAAAACCAAUUGGAAAUUGUUUAUAAAGAGACAGAGAGGAGAGGGCUAUGAUGAUUGGAUGAAAGAAGCAUGAAAAACUAAAAGACAUGUAAGCUUGAAUUCGAGUCCCAAAUUGAAAAUAUAAGGGAGGAGUGUAAGGGUGGCUUACCGAGGUCAGGAGAGGUGAGUCUCAUAGGAAAAGUCGACGAACAGUGGCAGGAGCCAGUGCACAGUGAAAGGCCUCGCCUGUGUCUCCUGAACAGAACAGAGUGAGUGAUAGUGGUUCUGUGAGAUGGAGCGAGUGGUGGUGGUGCUGUAGUCAUGUUUUGCCGGAAAAUGGAGGCUUUGGUGCGCCUCGGUGUUUACAGAGAAAAGAAAGGGGAGUCCAGGGAGCUAGUGGUUGUUUGAUGGAGUUGAGGCUCGCCGGAGUGGCGAGUUGUGAUGUGGACUCAGGCCUCUCGGCCUCUGGGUUUUACGGAGAAGGGGAAGAUGGUUUAGGGUUGAGAGAGAUGGAGGGACGGCUAGGUUUUAGAAAAGAUGAAGAAGAAUGGGGGUGAGCAGCGCUGGGGCUACAUGUUGAGGGAAAUGAAGAGAGAGCAAGAAGAAGUCGAAGGCAGUGAACCCUACGGACAAAUUUACCCUUCUAAGUUAUAAUAAUUACCCUUCCAACCCAGCCCAAAUCUGAUGGGUUCCUUGUAAAUAAGGUGAAAUCAAGUGGCAAACAAUUGACUGUAGCCAUGAACAGUAAGGAACAGUGCCAAUUGAAAAGCCUUCUUUAGACUAAAGUAAUAAGGCUUUUCAAUUGCACUAUUCAAAUGAAUAGUAACUUGGAGUGGAUUUUAAGUUAUUUACAAAAUUACCAUCAUCUCUUCAUCGCAAAUUGAAAAUUUCGAUUUUUUCACAAAUUACCACCGCUUUUGCACAGUUUAACAGCGCCCACGCGUCAGUCAUCGUGGAAUGCUCUGCUUCGACUACAUUUCCGUCCGUUUCCAUCCCCAUUUCUUUCCCUCUUUUUCUCUCCCGACUCUCUCUCACUGCCCUAUUCUCUCACUCCCGCUCACCAUCUCACUCCAAGCAAUAGAUACAUGAACUCGAUGAGAAGCCACCAUCUCUUAUCUACAAAGCGAAGAAGAACUCAGCAGAUUGUAUGUUACUCCUCCCCAAUUUUUUCUGUAUGUUUUCUUCAAUUAUUUGUUUUUGGGUUUGUUUCUUUCCCGAGAAUAAGAAGAAAGAAACAGGAAAAAUUAAUAUUGGGUAGUUAAUUUAUGUUGGACUGUUAUAUUUAUUCAAGACAUCAGGGGAAUUAGGUACAUAAUUGAUUGAUUACCUGAGUGAAUUUCUUUUAUUUUGUCUGAAAGAUUUUUUUUUUUCUGGGAUUUUGAUGUUUUCUUGAAUUUUACCACUUUGGUCGUGGCUUCCACUCAAAUGUUAAUUUAAUUUACUUUGUUUGGGUAUUAUAGCAAAUUAUAUAUAUAGUUUGCCGUUAUAGUUUGGUCCUUUUUAUGCAGUAGAUUGUAGAAAAAUGAUCAAAAAUAGCUUCAAGCAAGCACAUGAGUUUGGUAAGUUUUGGUGUUCAUACGCUGAAUUUGUUUAUGCUUUGUGUAUUGUCUAUUCAAUUUAUAUCAGUUUCAGAAUUUAUAAUUGUGAUGUUUAUAAGUCCACGGAGUAAGUUGCAUAGUUGUGCGGCAUCUUUUAUAUGCAGAGAAGAGACGUGCUGAAUCUCACUCCGCCAUUCGCCCCUCUGACCUCUCAUGAUCUCUCACACCCUCUCUCUAAUUUCAGAACAAUAUUAAGCAGCUUGAGCUCUCUUUGCAUUGAAUCAAUGGCAGUCAUCUAAGGAUGAUUUUUCUUUGCCUUUUUGUUGGAUUAGUGAAUUUUUAGCUUAAUUUGGGUAGUGUAGGUUCCGUUUUGGCUUAAUUUCGAUUUUCAACUCUAAUAAAAUAUUGGUUUUAGGGAUUUCUUCUUUGUGAUCAUCUUCAUGUUUGAUUGGUGAUUUAGCGUGUGGAUUGUCUACUUCUUUGAUGAAAACUCUCACCGUUGGGACUAAUAUAGGUUUCUCAUAUUUUUUUGCACCAUUUGUGAGGGAUUUAAUUUUCCUUUGUGGGUUUUCUUAUACUCAAGGUAUGAUUUACAUUCUGGAAUUCAUGGUUCAAUUGGAAACCACGAUGACAUAUCAACGUGUGUAGGACCCUUGAUUUUGUAUUAUUUACAUUCCUGCCAUUACCAAAAAGCAUGGGCUGCAGAGAGAGAGGGAGAUAGGCGGGGGAUGGCAGGGAGGGGAAGGGAGAGGGAGGAGUGAGGUUGCUAUAAAAAGGGGUUAUGGUUGAUUUUUUUUUCUCCUCAAAUCAAGGGUUGGUGUCGGGAUUAAGGGAUGUGUCAAAAUUGCCAAUAGAAGCCUAAAUUAAUGGGUAGUUGUCGGUGAUUGAGAGAUUGAGAGGGAGAAAAUUGGGGGAGGUUGUCACUGACCCGAUGGAGUGAGGGAUUUUGUGAGGAUUAACUAACUUAUUGACUAGGAACACAAGACAAGACAUGCUUCCGGUAAACCGCCUCCGUCGCUUUCCUCCUCUCGCCUCCGUCUACCUCCUCUCCCUUUCUUCGUCUCCCCCUCCUCCUCUCUCUCUCUCUCUAUGGAAUCGAUCGAUCUUCGAAGAGGAUAAAAAGAUCUGAAAUGGUGUGCUUCUUCUACUGUGAUUCUGUGUUUUUAAUUUUUCUGGGUUUGGCUUCUUCUUUUAUUCCACUACUAAUUUACAAAAAUAAUGAAUUUUGUACAUUUUGUUUUUAUUUUACUUUUUGUUAUAUUUCAUUGUAAUAUCAAAUAGAGUUGGUAUUUUAAAAUCUCACUGCAAUGUUUUUUGUUAUAUUGUUGGUGGGUAUCUUUAAUUAUGCCCUGAUGGAGAAAGGCAAAGAGGACAGACCUGGAUUUGGGGCAUAAAAGGGAUCUUUAGAUUUCUGUGAAAGUACUUUGUGCCUUUUUGCUAUUGGUGAUGAGUGUUCAUGAAUAUUUAUGCUUUAAUAUAGCUGUUACAGGAGCAAGUUGUUUAGUUAAAAUCCUAAGAAGAUUAGGGUAAAACAUUCCGGCUCUCUCAUUAUUGAUAGUCUGAAUUUCUGCAAUCUCUGAGAUAUAUUUGGGAUAGUUUUAUAGUGAUAUACAUCAAGGUUCAAGAAAAACUUUGCUGCACUGCACUAUAGGAGUAUCUGGUUGAUGAAAUUUUUCUGAUUUAAGCAUUUAGCUCCUCGAUUGCAUUAAAUCAGUAUUUAAAGAAGUUUUUGUCUGAGAAUGCAUUGAUAGAAUUUUUUUUGCCCAAAAAUUAACUCACAGAGCUUCCUGUGAGUUAGUCUUAGCUUUUGAUUUAAUUUUUUUAGAAUUAUUAUCAUUUUUUUUAUCUCUGCUGCUGUUUUGGAUUUUUUUUAAUGAUUUUUAUGCGAUGUUCAUCUGUGUAGGCACUCAAAUUAGUGUUUUGGAGUGCAUAUGGACCAGACACCACAAAAGAGAAAACGGAAACCAAAAUCAGAGCCAUCAAAACAAACAAAUGCUGGUAUGUCCUAAAAAAGGUUGGUUUGUGCACUUUCAAAGAAUACAUGGAAGAAGAUAAUAUUGAUCAUGGUGUAGAAUGUGAUGGUAAUGUGGUUGAAAAAGAUAAAAUGUUGCACGAAAAGAUCUCAGAGCUCAUUGACGAAAAUAUGCAGCACCAGGCUGAGUUGAUAAGGAGAAACAAGGAGAAUAGUGAAACAAUUGAGUGGCUUUUAUCCCAGGUGCAUAAGCUAACGGAUGAGAACAAAAUUUUGAAGAUUAAUCUGGGAAUCCAUAAGGAUACUACUGAUCAUACAAUUGCAAUCCAUAAGGAUGCUACUGAUUAUACAAUUACAAGGCAAAACAAGCCUCAGUUUUCAAAGUCUAAGUCCAUAGGGCCAUCUUUCCCUGGAAGGCUCACUGGAUGCCUAGAACUUGGAUCUUAAUUAGCUACUUUUCAACUUUAGUAGGUAGCGUUAUAAGUUUUCAAAUGUAUCUGUUUAUAUGCUUUCAUAAUACAUGUGAAGAUUCCGAGUCAAUUAUAACAUAUUUUAAUUUUUAAUUUUAUGAGUAUAGAAAAGGAAUUGAAUGCUUCGUUAUUUUGAUCUUGCAGCUGAAGCCAAGUCUGGAUAGAGAGAAAGAUCUCAUGGUAGGAAUCAUGGACUUGAUGAAGGUGAGGUUAACAAAGUGUGCUUUAGCACCAAGAUUGGAAUCUGGGUGUUCUGAGUUUUGUUUUGUUGUGAUUUUUCUAUAAUCUAGAUGCUGAAAUACUUGGAGUUGGAAUUAAUAAGAAUUGAUUGAACAUGGAUUUUUUAUUAGAUUGGUAUGGCUGACAUAGUUAAGAAGUAGUUUAAGAUGCAGUGAUUAGGGCAUUUCUUUAACUGAACAUAUUUGUUUUCAUGAGGUAGAUAGAAUCCUCUGUAAUUUAAUUAAUUAGAUUGAAAUUUGGGGUCUGGAUUCUUAAACUACUAUGGUGGUUAAUGUAGCUUUUUUGGUGAAUUUUUCAAGUGGGGAAAAAGAGGUGGGUGUGGGAUUUAUAUUGUUAUUCUCAGUUGGUAUAUAAAUAUUUGAGUGUGCAAGAAAUGGUUACCAUACAAAAAAUACAAGAACUGAAAUUAGAAGGGAUAAUGGCAGUUUGCAGAGGGUUGGUUCAGGGAUGGUAAAAGUUGUGUACGUGGCGAGAUUAAUGGAGGUGGUUUCGUGGUGGCGUAGUUCUCCGUGAAAAAUGGCGACGGUGGUCGCCUUGCUAUUUCUGUGCAGCGAGCACAGUAUCAAGAGAGAGAGAGAGAGAGAGGUGAGGGAAAUAGGGAGAGUAGUAGAGAGGGAGUGAGACAUGAGGGUGGUGGCAAGCUGGUGCCUUGAGGGAGUGGCGAGUGAGGUGGUGAUAGUUUCUCGAACGGGAGAUUUAUGGUGUACUAGAGAACUUGACUCCUCUCUCAGUCUGGUCUCCGGAAGAGAAAACCAAACAUAGCUAUGCAUUAGCAAAGUUUGAAAUGAGGGUUUUUAAUCUUUGGCAUGCUAUUGUCUUUAUUUGAUCAUUCUUUGAAAAAAAUUAUGAUGGACAAGUGAAAUAAACUGAAUGAAAACUUGGAGAAGAAGUUCUGAUUUUUAAUAUCUUUAAUCCGGGAUUAUUGUGAUGCCCUUUGACAAUUGAAAUGUGAAUGCAUUAUGUUGCUUAGAACACAAGUCAAUAUUUUUUAAACUGUGUUAGGUAUGAUGGAUGCUAUAGAUAGAAAAAUGUUGGCUUAAGGUUGGAUUCCAGGUAAAUAUGUGCUAUCCUGGAUGAUGGAAUUGCAUAGCAUCCUAAGUUUCUUUCUAUAUUUUCCUGAACAGAUUUACUGAAAAUGUUUUUCAAGGAUAUUCAACAAUAACUUUAAUCUUCAGACUUUCUCAUUGUUGCAGUCUCUAAUGCUUUAGUUAAUCCUAUUAGCCUAUUGUUAGAUCAAUUAAAAGAGUGUUUUAGCCUUCUGUUAGUGUUUCAUCUUAUAUACUUUCUCUCAUUGUUAGAUCAGUUGUGAUUCUGUGUGGUUCAUGUUUCCGGGUGUAAAAUUGUUCAUACAAUCUCACUUUUGCAUCUAAUUAGUGAGCCAAAAAGAAAAUUUUUAACAUUUUAAAUCCUAAUUAUCUCUAUUUCAGCCAAUGCAUAUUUUUUCCACCUAAAAGUCUUUGAUGCAUGUCUUCUUUUUUUUUUUUUUAGUAUUGAAACAUACAUUGUUCGAAAUUUGUUGAGCACUUGAAACUUUACAAGUUAAGAUUUGGAAUUUUAUGAUAUAUGAUAACUGCUUUGUAUGUUUGUUGUUGAUUAAGCACGUGGGAUACAACUCGGUCUUAGACACUUAAUAAAGGUUUAUCGUUUGAAAUUAAUGGGGCACAUGUUAUUCUCAUGAUAUUGGCUGCAAAUGCUGCAGAGUGAUUACAGAAACCAACGCAGAAAAAGCUUUAUAGGUAACUUUUACAUUUAUAGCAUUUCAGAAUUCGCAUAAAUACCAGAAAACAUCUUGAAAGACUACCAUUUCAAGUGGAUCUUUUCUUUCAUGUGGAAACCAAGCUUCCUUUUUCUUAACUCAUUCUAUUAAAACUUCAAAUUAUGUUCAAUUUGUUGAUUGGCUGUUAGCACUUAAGUUGAUCUAUUUAUUUCCAAUGUACCCUUUUUUAUGCAUGAGUGCUUUUCUGUUGCAUGUUUAGAAGAUGAAUGCAUCAAUUCUUAGGUAACCUUCUUUUUGUUCUGUGACGUAGGACAGAGUAGGACAGCGGAAAUUAGAUUGUUUAGCGGAAGUGAAACGACAUAAAACUUAAAUUGAAACAUCAUAUGCUUCUGUUUUAUAGGACUGGGGGGGGGGGGGAUAAAAACAGUAUAUUUUGUUGUUGCAUGUUUCAUUUAAUUCAAACUUUCAAAUAUACACUCUCUCUCUUCAUUAUGCACAGUAUGUUGAUGUGAACUGAAUCUAAAUAAUUUGUCUUUCUGUCGAAAAUAUUCAUAGUAUGUCCUGCAUUACAGUUUCAAAACCCACAGCAGCACGUGGGCAAUUUUAUUUUCCCUCUCCCUAUAUGUAGUUUAAUAUAAUUCAACGAGUUCAAAGAGAAUGAUCAGAAUGAAGGUUUGUAUUAGAUCCGAUGUGCUUCCUCUUUCUAUGCAUUUUGGUUCAAAUUAGGGUUUUAGGUUGAAACCCGAAACGAAAAGAGAAUAAAGUUUUCAGGAUGUUCGGAUUUUGUGUUUCGAUGAGAGGAAAAAAUGAGAAAUUUGUUAAGAAAAGUUGUGGUCGGAUUUUACAUGUUUACCGUUUUCAAGGUACGGUGUUCAUCGAUCUUAACUUUAAAUUUGUUUCUCAAUUUUUUUGUAGUUUUGGAUUUGUAAAAACCCUCGAUUGAAUCGGGUGCUGGUAUGGUCCCUUACAGGAAAAAAAAGUUUCAUUUUUUUCCCCUUAAAAUUUUAGUUUUUGUUAUUUUCUUUUUUCUUCACAAAGGAACUUAGGUGGUAGCUGUAUUACUAAUUAGCUACAGAAUUUAUAUAUUCUUAUGAGUACGGUAUGGGUGCAGGUUUGCUAUGUUGCUUUUUGGGAUGAAAUUACUUUAAAUACAAAGGAAAAUUUGAUCGAUAUUAUUGGGUUGUACGCAGAAAUCUAAGUUUUACCUAUUUUGAUAAUGCUUGGUUUUUGUGUAUUGAGUUGGAUAGACAGUUCAUAGGUUUGGUUCCAUAUUUAUUCGGAGAAGAAAAACACAAAGAGGGCAACACAAUAACCCUAGGAUGAUUAUAUAUGGAAUGAAUUAAAUCUAUUAACGAAUUAUAUUUUGGGUGGUGUUAGGGAGAAACGCCUACACUCCAAAUAUUUAUGAAUUGGAUUCAUUAUAAAAUAGGUAAAUUGUAUGCAUUACUUCUUUUGGCACUAAAUCUUUUGUUAAAUUUUAUUUUGCUGACUUUUAGUUUUUGACUUUCCUUUGGCAGGACUUUUAAUUAAGCAUGCAUCUUUGGUGUAAUAUUAUCAUAUUCUUGAGGUUUGAAUUUUUUACUCUUACUUUUGUGACCAUUAUAUGUUUGCGUAUCUCUCUUUUGGGUUAUCCAUCAAUUAAAAAUUAUUAUGUGAGGAUUUUGAUUGUUGACUUAUCAUUGGUAUAUUUCAAGUGGUUUUUGAUAUUUUGAUAGGUGUUGGAAAAAAAAGAUGAAAUUGUUUUGCGCUCAACGCAUAGUUAAUCUUAAAAUAGGGUUUAUUAAAUUGGUUUGAUGAUAUAUAGGUGGUAACAAAUUAAUGAUGUCAACUCCUACAAGGAAGAGGCUGAUGAGAGAGACUUCGAGAGGCUGCAACAAGACCAGCCUGCGAGGAUUAGUGGGGCGCCUCAGGAUAACAAUAUAAUGUUGUCGGCGAGGUUAGUUAUUUUUUAGGCUUUGCUUCUACAAACGUGAACUCUUUACAUGGAAACCGAAUUUUAUGUGAAUUUUAAUAGUUAUAUAUCAAACUCCUCUGCACUGAACUCUGUGUAUUACAACAAUUAUAAUUAGAACUUGGAUGAAAUGGGCUCCAUCCAGCAAAACUCCUGCCCUAACAAUAAUAAUUAGAACCAAAUUUGAUAAUUUCUCAUAGUUUAGGCCAUUUGGCCAAGUCAGAAUGAGAAACAUAGAUGUUUUCUUUAUCUUAUGCUAUUUGUUUGGCUGUAAAUCGUAUGGAGUAAAUCUCAUGGUGUCAUUCUAAAUAAACUGGAAAUAUGUCUCAUGCAAAAUUAAUGUUGAUGUUUAUCAAUGGAAAUAAGUUUUGAAGUGAUUACCUUUCUUUAUACAAGUUCUCUUCACAAUGAAACCUAUAUUAUAGUGUCACUUUUACUUGCUUUCGCACAAAAGGGGUGUCUGGACAUGUAAUUGGCGUGUCAUUACUCACUAAAUCUUUUUUAUCCUUAUCUUCUAUAUUAAUAUCACCAUUUUUUUGGGUGCUCAUUGAGUGGUUUGGCAGGUAAUAGAUAAAGGUUUUAAUGCAUUCAUUUAAUGUUAUUACAGAUCUGCUAAAUUCUUCAAGAAGUCCGGUUUACAGAACUGAAGCUGUUUAAGCACAAGGUGUCCCAGUUUAUAGAUGAGGUAUUAUAAAAUUUAAAAAGCGUCAAUAUUAUCAUUACUGAUCCUUAACAUUUAACUAUCAAAGCUUGAGUUUAUAAUAAUUAAUUCUUCACUGAUGAUAUGUUGUGAUGGGGUUUAGUAAUUUUCAGUAUUCUUCAAUUCUUUUAAUCUGCAAAAUCAAAUAGCCCAUGGAAUUUAUGGCAUACAAUUAGUUUCCUUUCAGUUGGGUUGAAAUGAUAUUGAUUGUGUUGUUAUGAAGCUCCUUUUUAUAGUUAGGUUGAAAAUCAUAUUGAUAGAUUCUUUAUUUGGUUGGUCCUAUCUGUAACAAAUGGGAUUGUUUUGUUUGAUGUUUGAAUCAAAAUUUGAUCUUUUUUUGUGUGAAAUUAUGAUGGAAUCGCAAAUUUGUGAGGUAUAUCUUAGAUUAUUGGUUGCAUAGUCACCUUCCCACAACUAUCACAUUGUCUCUUGACUAGAUGAAUUUUUAUAAUUUCUAGGAUCUACGGUUGCAAUGCUUUUGAUGCAUGCAAUCAGGAGGAUGCUACUACUCUUAUGGAGCUUCUUUGGCAUGGUAAGUUGAAGUUGCAUAGCAUUUUUUUUUCGUUCACGAAAUUCGUUAUCUUGCUAUCCUGGCAAUUAGCAGUGUCUGACAACUGGUGAAGUAUAUGAAUAUAUGUGGAAGUUUGAAUUAUACAAAUGAAAGUGAACUUUUAACAACUCUAACUUAGAAUUUUUAUUAAUUUCUUUCAUUUGUGUUCGACUAUUUUACUUUUUUGGUAUAUAAGUACAACUAUAGAUCGAAAACCACAUAAAUUACCUAACAGCCAAGGAAUUGUUUGUGGUAGAACAUAACAUGAUGUAAAGCUCAAAUUUUGGGCACUUAAAUAUAUGUUUUUUUUUUUUCAAUUACAAUCAGUCAGCAUGAAAGUUCAAUUGGAUUUGUUCUGGUCUCCAAAAAUUUUUCUUUGUUUGGUUACCGAUUAAUUUAUGUGGUGAGAGUUUAGUUUUUGCUUUUCUGCCUAUGUAUAUAUGAUUUGAAAUGGACAAUUCAAUUUUCUAUAUAUAAAUUUGUAGUCGAAGAGUUCGAAGGAGAGGUGAAUUAGAAACAAUGGGGGGAAGAGUGAUGGAGUUGAGGAGUUGAGAGUUAAUGAGGUAUACUUGAAUUUCUGUAUGAUGUCCUUGGUAUUGGGAGAUCAUUGAGACUAACUAUCUGGUUGAUUAAUCACGAUGUCCUUGGUAUUGGGAGAUCAUUGAGACUAACUAUCUGGUUGAUUAAUCACUAAUUUGAACUAUUUGUGCUUGGAAAAUUAGCUACUUGAACAAGUACUGAACGCUUUCUAUGUUUUCUCUUAUUAACUGCUGAAAUAGGUGCCUGCCCUAUAGGACACAUAUUUUGCCUUCUUAACUACAAGGGAAAAAUAUGUGUGAAUUGCAUGUUGCUUAUGUUUCUUAUGGAAACAGAACUUUUUUUGGCAACCAUGUCUUUGUGAUCAAGAAUGUUCAGUUUCUUCCUACUAAUUGUGCAAUGUCUUUACAUGUCAACUUAGUGGAAUGUAUAUAAAAGUCAAACUACUUAUCUUAUCGAUCUCAUUCACUCAUGUGUCCCUCUGUUCAUUCAUGAUUGUGUUGAAUUUUUUCAGGUAAAAUGUGUCUUAUUCAUGCAGUUACGCCUGAAAUAGUGGUUCCCACUGCAACACGUGGGCUUAUUUUCUAGUUAUGUCUAUUUUUGUCAUUAUACAAAAUUUCCAAAAUUUUACAUUAGUAUUUACCAAACGCUUUUAUACUACUUUUCAUACUUACAGCAGUUUUAAAAAUACAGUUUACCAAACGUUCAGCUGCUUUAUUUUACAGCUGAUUAUUCUUAAAGCACAACUGUUGACCCUAAAAACUACAAAGCCUACGUGGCGCGCAGGCCGAGUAAUUAAUGAGCUAACUACGUCCUUCGGUGAAUGCGGGGCGUGCCAACUCGUCGGCCGAGCUCGGCCGAGGAGUAAAUUUGUUGAUGUUGCGUUGGGUCGCGCUACUGACUUCUGCGUCUUGCCAUUGCGGCCGAGAAAGGAACACGUCUCGGCCUCUUGGGCUCUCGAACCUGAAGACAAGGUUACUAUUCUUACGAAGUUCAAAAUCAAAUUCGGCUUUCAAUGUGCCGAAUGUAAUAACUGUAACACCUCACUUCGCCGAGAAGGCUGAUGAGAUGACCUCGACCAAUAAGGAUUUAGAAACCCUUCUCGACCGAGACUUGGAUAGGUAAUCAAUCGUUCUCGCCGCAGUGCUGUUGAUGCCAACGGAAGGUACUGCGAGACCGACUGACUCUACAGUGACAGAGCUAUCUAUGCCGACUUAAGAUAUCACCGGUUGCUUCCACAGUGCUGUUGAUGCCAACGGAAGAUGUGUCAGUGAAAAAGGAAAAAGAAAAAUCACAAGUUGUGAGAGUUUGCGCAGGGCAAUUUUGUAUUGAUUUUGUGGGUCUCGUUCCGUUGCCACUGCCUCUCUAUUUAUAGAGCUAACUUAGCAUAAAACCCGGCCGUGACCAUCAAUCACCACCACAAAUAAUAAUCGUUACGCGAGGAUGAUUAUCCAAUGAGAAUCGUAGCACUCAAAUCUCUUUGGUGCUAACGCAUUUCAGCCAAAACCACAUAACAAAUCAUGGCAUGCCAAUUCCGUCUUUUGCUAAAGAUAAGCAUUGUCGUUCAAAUCCUAGUCCCAAAGCCCUGGCAUAUCAAGCUUUAUCCAUAGGAUAUUCACUUCACCUAUUUGGCAACCUUGAAUUUGCUAAUAAUUAUCCCAUGCAUGCAUCACAUUAGCUUACGUAAUUAAUCUUUCAAGUUGGACUCCACCUUGAUCACCAACUGAUGCCACCACGUGCUAGGACUCUUCUCAUAAUGCAUGAUGCUUAAUCCCCGCGUCGAAUGAUAAGAAUCCCACAUUAAAUCGAACUGUUCUGCUUGCUUCGGUAUAGUUUGCGUCACAUUUAUCUUGUAUAAAAAGUGUCAAGAUAAUUCAUUAUUAAAAGAUCAUUAUUAUGAUUAAAAAUCAUAAUAUUAUCCCCUAACAACAAUAAAAUUAUCUUAACUUUCCUAUCCGACGGUGUGGAGCAAUGCUCACUCAACGGCCUUGAUCGCACGGGCCGAUGAUGUAAAUUGAGGUCCAAACAACAACAGAAGCAGUUUUAAAAAUAAGAACAGCAAUCCCAAACUGGCCCUUAGUCGAGGCGAGUCCUCCUUUGUCCCAUUGAACUUAGUCCUGCCAGUGAACAAACACGGAUUACACUACCUUUUAACUUAAGCUAGUCCAGUGAGAGCUAAAAAGGCAAACAAACAUCCCCUUAAUCGUUUCUGUACAGAGACUGCUAAAGAAACAGCAUGAUCAAAAUCAAAGAAUCAUGAGGCGGCCCCAGCAAGCCCCUCAGCGGCUCUACGUCCCUCCGUCGUCGCGCGACGGAAACAGCCACGACAACUACGAAGACACCGACCUCGACAACAUCGAUUACGACGACAACGAUGGUUCCAAGGACCCCGGGAGUGACGACAACAACCACGGCAACGCUGGCAGCGGUGAUGAAGAAGUCGAUCCUCUGGAUGCUUUCAUGGAGGGGAUUCAUGCGGAGGUGAGGUCAGCUCCGCCGCCGAAGCUGAAAGUGAAGGCCGAGAAGUACAGGGACGAUGAGGAGGAGGAUCAUAUGGAGAGGUUUCUGAGGGCUAAAAGGGACGUGGUGCUCACGCUGGCAUCAGAUGCUUUACACACCAGAUAUGACUCCGAUGAAGAGGUAUAUGCGACCGCCAAGGCCGUCGAUGCCGGGUUGUUGGAGUACGAUUCAGAUGAUAAUCCCAUUGUUCUGGACAAGAGGAAGAUCGAGCCGAUUUCAGCUCUCGAUCAUAGUUCAAUCGACUACGAGCCGUUUAAUAAGGAUUUUUACGAGGAGAAAGAGUCGAUUUGAGGUAAAUUCCAACCGAACUGAGAAUUUGGUUUCUUUCUUUUUUUCUUUCCAUUCACAUUUGUUUUUUAAAUUUUUGUGUGAAUUUAGUCGAAAUGCGUAGCAAAGUAUUUAAAUUUAAGUGGGAGAGAAUAUUGACCGGUAGAAGUUCUCAAGGAGAGAUUUGAAAUGGAAGACUAGAGUUAACUGGUGUUUUGGUUUCCUUGUUUAGGGAUGAGUGAGGAGGAUGUUUUUUAGUACAAGAAGAGCUUGGCCAUCCGUACGUCGGGGUUUGAUGUACCGAGGCCAGUUAAGACAUUUGAAGAUUGUGGAUUUUCUUCACAACUCAUGGCUGCCAUAAAAAAACAAGACUACCAAAAGCCGACACCAACACAAUGCGUAGCUCUACCCAUAGUUCUUUCCCGGAGAGAUAUAAUUGGUAUUGCGAAAACUGGUUCUGGAAAGACUGCCACUCUUGUCCUUCCAAUGAUUGUCCACAUUAUGGAUCAGCCAGAGCUUCAAAAAGAAGAAGGUCCAAUUGGAGUGAUAUGCGCUCCUACUAGAGAGCUGGCGCACCAAAUAUACUUAAGAGUCCAAAAAAAUUGCAAAAUCACAUGGGAUACGUAUCUCUGCUGUAUAUGGUGGAAUGUCUUAAGCUUGAUCAGUUCAAAGAACUUAAGGCAGGAUGUGAAAUAGUUUUUGCUACUCCUGGGAGAUUGAUCGACAUGCUUAAAAUGAAGGCACUGACAAUGCUUAGGGCAACUUACCUAGUACUUGAUGAGGCUGAUCAGAUGUUUGACCUUGGGUUUGAGCCUCAAAUUAGAUCUAUUGUUGGUCAGAUUCGGCCAGACCGACAGACAUUGCUCUUUUCUGCGACAAUGCUCCGUAAAGUUGAAAAAUUGGCUAGGGAGAUUCUCUCAGAUCCUAUAAGAGUUACAGUGGGUGAGGUGGGAAUGGCCAAUGAGGAUAUCACUCAGGUUGUUCAUGUAAUUCCUUCUGAUGAUGAGAAGCUGCCCUGGCUUUUUGAGAAGUUACCAGGAAUGAUUGAUGAGGGUGAUGUUUUAGUAUUUGCUUCAAAAAAAGCUGCAGUGGAUGAGAUCGAGUCACAGCUUGCUCAGAAAGGUUUUUAAGUCACAACUCUGCAUGGUGACAAGGACCAAGCAUCUCGGAUGGAUAUUUUGCAAAAAUUUAAAUCUGGCAUUUACCAUGUUCUUGUUGCAACUGAUGUUGCUGCUCGUGGUCUUGACAUCAAGUCAAUUAAGUCAGUUGUGAACUUUGAUAUUGCAAAAGACAUGGACAUGCACAUCCAUUGAAUUGGUAGAACAGGUCGGGCUGGUGAUAAGGAUGGCACUGCGUACACUCUUAUUACACAGAAAGAGGCACGUUUUGCUGGUGAGUUGGUUAAUAGCUUGGUUGCUGCUGGUCAGAUUGUCUCCACGGAGCUCAUGGACCUUGCGAUGAAGGUAAUUUUGCAUUACUAUUAACAUUUUUUUUUUGUGGUUUAUAUAGCGAGUUUAUACAUGCAUCCAACUACUUGCCUUUUUGUUUUAGAGAUGGUGGUUAUAACCUUAGUUUGUAAUCCUAUAAUGCAUUUAAGGCGAAUACAAGUUAUUAAUAUGUUCUCUGGUAAAACGUGCUCUUUUUAAUGCAAUAUGGAUUCUGGACAAUUACACCUACUGGUGUUUGUCUCACAAAUAAACUACGUUAUCUUCACUCUACUAUAUAGGUGCAUAGGUUGCUUCUGAUUUAGAGUGCGCUUUCGAGAGAGAUGGAUUUGAUGACCAUUUGGUCUUCAAGGCCUUAUUUUGGAAAGCUUUAGUAUGUCCUUGGAAUUACAGGGAUCUUGAGAUCGUUGACUUCAUAACGUCAAGAUAGUCAAUUUCAGGAAAUGUGCUUAGUUUAGGGAGAGAGUAAUUAGACAGUCUUUAGUAGUCCCAUCUUUACUUCAUACCAUGCUCUGCUUAGAAAAGGGGUUGUUGGGGGUGUAUGUUGGCUUGUUGGGUUGUGGAUUGAAGCAUAGAGAUGACUUGAAGAUGAAGCUCAGUCUGGGGACGUAAUAACUUUUGUGUAUUAUUAAGUACUCGCUUGCAUUCUGGGCUACCAAUACAUCGGUUGAGGCCAACCAAUUUGCAUUUAAGAACUAAGAGAAAAAUCGCAUUUUAAGUACUAAAUCUUAAUUACCACAUGGACCCUUAGUAAAUUGUCACUUAUUUUCCCUUGUGCCAAUAUAUCUCAUAGACAUAAAUGCACAGCUUAUCAUGAUAGGUGGCUGCACCUGCAUUAGUUUUAGAAGUUUUACACUAUGAGAGCCACUCAUGCAUCAUUUCUUCAGUCUUGUGACUUUUAAUUCUUGCCUUGCUGCUUGUAGCUUUGUAUUUUAUAUCCAUCAUAAAUACACUGGUUUCCAUCUCCUACAUGGAUGUGCAGUUAUUUUGGGUGCACCUUGUCUGUGGAACUUUUGUUGCUUUCCCUUACUAUGUUUCUUGUUUGAUAGCUUUAGAUGUUAUGUUAGAUUUCAGAUUUUACAUUCUCUAUUUUAAUGGGAUUUACCUUGUUUAUUAUCAGGAUGUUAGAUUCAUAUCAAAAUGUGAUUCAAGAAAAGGAGUUAUAAACUUUAAUCAUAUUAAAAUUUCAAUUUUCUUAAGGUUCUUUUGCAAUUUCAUAUUAAAUAAGCCUUUUUCUACAAUUCAAAUGAUGAUAUUAUAUGGAUUCUGCAGGUGGAAAGAAAGGUAGAGGGAGGGGCGGCGGUGGUCGAGGUGUGCGUGGGGUGGAUUUUGGUCUGGGUAUUGGAUAUAAUACGGAGUCCAAUAGUUCUUCAUCGAAUACUGUUCCUAGUCGAUCUGUUGCAGUAACUCCUCAGAGGACAGGAAUGAUGUCUCAGUUCAAGACUAAAUUUGUUGCCGCUUCAUCUAACUCUCCAAGUCAAGGUUCAGCUAACAGCUCUAGUGUGCCCAACAGACAGGCAUUACGAGGAUUUGUAUCCGGUGGUUCAAUAGGUGGUGAUGUAUAUAGAACUCAGGCAACCAGUACAAUUACUCCUGCUCCUGCUCCAACAUCAAUGGUAAAUAAAACUGCUACUCCGAACACUGGACAAAAUUCAAGUCAGAAACCCUCCGAAAGGUUAAUUAAACUGAUGCUUGGUUAGAAUUUUUUAUGUCUUUACUUAUUUGAUUGGUGUUGAGCAGUUUCAUUUGUGCCGAUUGCAGUUCUAGAGAUAAACCCAGAGAAAGGCGGAGGCGCUCCGUUUGGGACUGUUAACCGUACAGUUGAACUACACCACUCUCGCAUAAUGAAUUACAAGUUUUACUUUUGUUGUAGGUCAAGUCCUGAUAUUCCUAUAUUAUUGUUGAUCUUUGUCACUUUCUUUGUCGCUCUGUUUAUAAGUUAAAAGAAACAGAAGAUUUUGUAAACUCAGAUCGACUUGUUGCACAAAUAGUGGAUGAUUUAAAACAUAGACUGUUCGUAUCAUUAAAAUACGUUAUGAAGUAGAUUCUACAAAAAGUUGUGCCGUGUAAAAAAAAUUGUGAUGUUUCACAUGUGCUCCGUAUGUUAUUUAUAUUAAUCAUUCUGAAUUACAUCAUAACUCAACGACUUGGUAUAUAAUACAAUAAGGCCUUGUUGGAUGUCAAUGAUUUGAUUGGUUAUGACUGGAUUAGAUUGGCUUAGUUUGGAAAAUUCACUAGAUUCAGUGAAUGUUGAAAGAAAAUAUGGAUUGCUAUUUUGUUCAAGUGAAGAUGGAAGAGAAAAAGAAUAAGACAAGUAUAACAAAUCAAAUAUUGACGGAGCAUGCAUAGGUUUUUAAUUACAACUAUUCGUCAAUUGGUGCUUAUAAUUUUUGGUUUUAAAUGCUAUUAUCUCUUAAAUAAAAUAAUUAUGUUGCUUUAGUCUCCUCAUCGUAUUAUACGUGUCGAAUUCGUGUGAAGUCUGGUGGGACAAGAGAGAGAUAAGGAGGUUGACUUUGAUCAAUUGACCUCCUUUCCAUAGCCAUUUUUCUUUACCUUCAUCCCCUUACACAAAGUCCAUUCUUAAGAUCUCUAGUUCUCUCUCAAUGGCUGCUAAAAGUUCCCGAGAUUCUUCUUCGUCCUCUUACCAGUGUUCCUAUCAUGCCUUCUUGAGUUUCAGAGGCCAGGACACGCGCAGGGGCUUUACUGAUCACCUCUAUAGAGCUUUGGAGCUAGCAGGAAUCCACACCUUUAGAGACGAUGAUGAAAUCAAGAGAGGGGAGAAUAUUGAGUCGGAGUUAGAGAAGGCGAUAAAGGAGUCACAAGUAUCCAUAAUUGUCUUCUCCAAGGACUACGCUUCCUCAAGGUGGUGUUUGAACGAACUUCUGAAGGUCGUGGAACGUAGAAAUACUGAUCGUAGACAUGUGGUUCUGCCAGUUUUCUAUGAUGUGGAUCCAUCCGAUGUCAGGAAGCAGAGUGGUACUUUUGCUGAAGCAUUUGCCAGACACGAGGAGCGAUUCAGUACGGAGGAGAUGGACAAGGUGGAGCUGUGGAGAAGAGCUCUUAGACAUGUUGCAAGUUUGGGAGGCAUGGUUUUAGGAGAUCGGUAAUUUCUAUUCUCAUUAUGUUCUCACGCUAAUUGAAAGUGUCUUUUAAAUUAAGUAAAAUUGUAGAUGGCAGUGAAACUUGAAGUUGUUCGCCUAUAUAUACUGCAACUUUGAUUUAUAUGUUCCUAUCGAUUCAAAUGAAUUACAGGUAUGAGGGGCAGUUCAUCCAAGAUAUUGUUGGAGAGAUUAGAAAUAAAGUGGAUCACGUAGCUUUAGACGUCGCUCCCUUUGCAGUUGGAAUGGAUGCUCGUGUGAGACGCCUAAACAUGUGGUUACAAGAUGGAUCAAAUGAUGUUGGUUUAGCUGUCAUCUGUGGGAUGGGUGGAAUUGGCAAGAGCACCAUCGCGAAAGCCGCUUAUAACCGCAACUUUGAUAGAUUUCAAGGUAGCAGCUUUCUUGCAGAUAUACGAGAAUCUUCAGAACAACCCAAUGGUUUUGCUCUCUUGCAAAGAAAACUUCUUUCAGAUAUCCAAAACGGGAAAGCAAAGAAAGUAUACAAUAUGGAUGAAGGAACAAUCAGGAUCAAACAAGCCGUAGGUUAUAAAAAAGUUCUUAUUGUUCUUGAUGAUGUGAGCAACCGGGAUCAACUCAAUGCAAUUCUUGGAAUGCGAGAGUGGCUUCAUUCAGGAAGUAAAAUUAUCAUAACAACUCGACAUGAACAUUUGUUAAAUGCUCACGAUGUUUUUGAAAAGUUUAUGGUUCAAGAACUGAAUGAGUACGAAUCACUUGAGCUUUUCAGUUGGCAUGCCUUCAGACAAUCCCAUCCGGAAGAAGGUUACAAGGAGCUUUCAAGACAUGUGGUGCAGCACUGUGGAGGGCUUCCUGUAGCUCUUCAAGUUCUGGGAUCUUCUCUAUCUGGAAAAAGUGUAGAAGUAUGGCAAAGUGCAUUGCAGAAGUUAGACGUGAUCCCUAAUGACAAAAUUCAAAAAGUUCUGAGGAUAAGUUUUGAUUCUUUACAGGAUGAUCAUGACAAAAAUUUAUUCCUUCAUAUAGCCAGUUUCUUCACAGGAAAGACGAUGGAUUAUACAAGUACAAUGUUGGACAGCUUAAAGUUUUACACAAGGAUUGGGAUUGAAAAUCUAGUUGACAGAUGCCUAGUGAAAAUUCAAGGCUCGAACAGGUUGUUGGUCAUGCAUCAAUUGGUGAGAAACAUGGCAAUGGAAAUUAUUUGUGAAGAAUCACCUGAUGACCCUGGAAAACGUAGUAGAGUGUUGCAGAAAGAUGCCUCUAAUAUUUUGAGAAAAUUAAGUGUAAGAACUAUGUUUUCAUGUAUAUGUAUUUUUAGUUAUGAUUUGUUGUCCAGUACUAGUUAUAUACUUAUUCAAUGCUCUGAUUUGUUAGCAGGGUACGGAAAAUAUUAAGGGCCUCAUGCUUAACCUUGCUAGCAAAAUAACGUUUGUUGGAUGUCAUAAAAAACGAUGCCAUGAUGAAGAUUAUGAUGGAAAUUGUUCAAGACGACGUCGUCUUGGUUUCUUCUCUUGGAAGCCAGUUAGCUUUCCGUCCACAAACUCAGCUUCUGCAUCAAAUGAGAUAGAUUUCAAAUCUGAGGCGUUUAGAAGGAUGCACAAUCUUGAAAUUCUCAUGCUCAACAACGUCAACGUCAGGGGAAGCUACGAAGAAUUUCCAAAAAGUUUAAUAUGUUUAUCUUGGAGAGGAUUCCACUUAAAAUCAGUACCAGAAAAUUUUUAUUUGGAAAACCUGGUUGUUCUUGACAUGCGAAAUAGUAGCCUACAACAUGUUUGGAAUGGGAUCAGGGUACGUAACUCUCUCUCUCUCUCUCUCUCUCACUCACUCUCACACACACUUUCUCUCACACAUGUCCAUUAUAUCUUCUUAGAAAUUGAUUAAUACUUCUUAUUGAAAACAGUUCUUUCCGAGGCUGAAGAUUCUUAAUCUCAGUCAUUCGCAUGGCCUUAGGACAACCCCUGACUUCUCAGGACUCCCUAACCUUGAGAGAUUGAUUCUUAAACAUUGCAUAAAUUUGGUUGAGGUUGAUGAGUCCAUCGGAUACCUAGAGAAACUUGUUGUUUUGAAUCUAGAAGGCUGCAAAAAUCUCAUGAAGCUUCCAAAAUUGAGAUCUAUUCAGGAUCUUAUUCUUUCUGGUUGCUCAAAGCUUGUGCUUGGUGCCAAUACGACUGCCACAACUGGUCACUUACAAUCUACAGCUUGUGAAUUGAAGAAACUCAAUCUGCUAUCAGCUAAAUCAUGGUAUUCAAUCUGGUCGCGGGUGUCCCCAAGAAAAAAUAUUGAACCAAGCAGUUUCUCAUUGGCAAGUUUACCACAUUCCUUGACAAGUUUAAGUCUGGAUAGCUGCAAUCUAUCAGAGAUUCCGAGUGCCCUUACUAUGCUGUCUUCGUUAGAGUACUUGGAUCUGAAUAAGAAUCCAAUUACAAGCCUACCAGAGAGCAUGAACAAUCUUGUUAAGCUUCACACUCUUGCAGUAGAUGGUUGCAGAAACCUCACAAUGCUUCCAGAGCUCCCACAUAGUUUGAAACAAUUGAAUGGUAGAGGUUGCACAUCAUUGAAAAGAAUAACAAAUUUACCGAACUUGCACAUAUUACCGGCCACACAUCCCUUCGGCAUGCAAAAGGACAUAGAUUUAAAGUAUUACAACAUAUUAUUGGACUCAAAUUUAUGGUAUUGUGGGAAACUAGUUGAUGUUGUAAGCUUGUUUAAUACACUACCAUUGAGCAGCUUUGACAUAAAACUCCUCAAAGAUAUCGAUCUAUUCGAUUUGAAACCCAACGGUGGCGUUGAGGUCCAAAGGAACAGCGAUUGUGCAAGUUUUGGCAAGCCCAGGCGCUCCAAGGUUCUUCUCUCUCUCUCUCACUGCUAUGUACAAGUGCUUAUAAUAUGAUCUAUGGCGUAAACAAUUAGAUUGUAAUCACAUCACCAUGAAACUGCAGGGAACUUUUGAAUGCGGCAUAUUUAGCAUAUUUGUCCACGAGAGCAAGAUUCCAGAUCGGUUCAAUUACAGGAGCAUGGGUAACAGUGUGUUCUCUAUUAUUGUUCCUUCACAGCCUAAUAUCAAGAUCGUAGGUUUAAAUGCAUGUAUAUUGUAUGCCCGGCAAUCGGAUCGAAGCCCUGAGAUUGCACUUGGAAACUAUCAUUUCUAUUCGCUUGAACUUAGGAAUGAGACAAAGGGCCUUAAGUGGCGUUUACCUAUGUUCAAUGAGGUUGAAUGGAGGGUGAUGAACGAAGAUAUGUUAUGGCUAAGCCAUUGGAUUAUGGGGAACGAUGAAUUGGAAUGCGGGGAACAAGUGCGUUUUGAAAUAAUCGGAGUGCAAGACGGUUUCGUCACAAAGGAGAUUGGAGUCCAGUUUGUGUACGAGCAGCAAAAUAAGGAUAAGGAGGAUGUCCCAUCAAGUAGUGAAGAUCCAAUGAUCCUACCUGACAGAUCGUUUCGGGUCUGGAGCAAAGUAUCGCCUUGGCACUGGAGCGUAGGUUUCGCUGGAAGGGGUGGCCCUAUUGGGAGAGAGACCGGGGUGGAAUACAUCCAUAACAAUGAGAAGAAAGUUAUUUCAACUGUCAUGUGCGCGGCUCAAUACAUUCUCUGUAACCAUGAAGUGAUCGAUCUUGAGAAUGAAUCCCGCAUGACCCCGUAGUAACAACGAGUGCUCUAAACUAUUACCCAGUUUAAUUCAAAUUGAUGGUGAUGAUGCACAAAUCACUAAAUUCAAAUGUGUAUUGGUUGUUAUGCUUCGUUUCUAUCUAUUUUCAAUUUUUCCCUAAAAAAUUGUUUUCAAUAAUUUAAUAUACAAAAUUUCAUACCAAACAAAUUCUUGCCUGUAUAAAGUAUGAAUUUAAAACCUGUUUUUAAGAAAAAUAAAGUUUCAGACCCCAACUAGAAAAUAAGCCCACGAGUUGUGGCGGGAACUAACUGUUUCAGGCGUAACUGCGUGAAUAAGACACAUUUCACAUGUAACUGAAUAAAUAAGACACAAAGUGCAGGAAGUAAAGCUCAUAUUUAGCAGUGUUAUUUUAACAACAAUUGUUCAAGUGGUGGAUUGCCCCCGGUGGGUUGGGCAUUUCUCUUAGUCCUACUGCAUUCCGGGUUCAAAGUUCCAACCAUCCCCCGUACCAGUUUAAGCACACCAAAGACCAAAUUUAGCAUGUUCUUUCGUCAUCCACCCAACCCCAGCAGAUAUACAAAAUUCAAAUAGAACUUGGCAAAUUCAUCCUCUUAAAAUACAAAACGAAAAUAAUUUAUGAUCACUGACCUCUGAGAAUCGAAUGAUAUUCGGAUUCUUCAAUGAUCUGUGGUUCUUGAUUUCCCCUUGAACAUGUUCAUCCAUCUGCAUCACCAAAAAAAAAAGUAUAUUUAAAAAAAAAUACAAAAUGAAAAUAGUUUAUGAUCACUAACCUCUUUGGAUCGAAUGAUAUUCGGAUGGUCCAGUGAUCUAUAGUUCAUGAUUUCCCUUUGAACAUGUUCAUCUAUCUGCAUCACCAAAAAAAUAAUAAAUAUUUAAAAAAAAAUACAAAAUUUAAAGGAUAAGAAUUGCGAAGAUUCUUAGGUCUUAGUUCGAAAUGUAAUAGCUCAUCUCACCUCCAUAUAUUACCAAAUCUUAGUCUAUAUGAUUUUGCCAGAGCCACCGAAUGUUGAAUAUAUAUCUGUUGAAUGUUCUACUACCAUCAACAUUAUAAAGGUUUCUAAUCGAAUCAUAUAUUUAAAAUCCAAGCAUGAAAGUUUUACAAAGAUAAAUAAACAAAUGUAAAUAACUAAUUAGGCAAUACACAGCAGAGAGGGGAGAGAGAGAGAGAGAGAGAGAGCAAUUGAAGGGAAUGCAUAGUUAUCUCUAUCUUCGGAAAAAAGAAAAGAAAAAAAGAGAGCAGUUGAAGGAGUGAGAAGCAAAGCAGCAUACCAAGUGGAGGGUAAGCAAUUAAGCAUAGUCAUCUCACGUACGGAUUGCCUGAGAACUGAUCUUUGCUUCUCUUCCUUAUGAUCCUCUUAAAUGCAAUUCUACACAUUUCUAAACCAAAAUUGCAAAGCAGAAUUCAAAGAAAUUUAAAGAAAUCUAGUAAAGAUUCAAACUUUUUUAUUAUCCAAAAGAUGUACAUAACCCCAUGUAACAAAAACAAAUUUAUGACACAAAAGAAAUUAUCUUUAGCCAACAAAAGCAAAAAAGAGAAAGAGAGAGAUUUUGCUUUUUGCACUAUGCAGAAUGUGCAGAGAAUCAAAAUAUCAUAACCCAUUUAACAACAUGAUAUUUUAGGCAAAAAGGCAUCACCUUUAGACCCCAAAUGAAAGAAUUUGAGAGAGAGCGCAUACGUGGUUGCCAAGAAGAGGAAGAGAGCAAUUCUAUUUCCUGUAAAAAUGAAGAAACAGAGCAUUAACAAACACACAUGCACAAAUCUCAAAAGGAAAUUGGUAAGAAAUAAUCGUAAUUGAGAAAAUAAUCAAAAAACUAGAGAGCACACAACUGGAGUCUAAUUCUACAGAACCCACGAGUCGACAAACAAAUAUCCAAAAUUAACAGAUUACAGUAACAACAUUCCAACAAAAGUAAGAAGACCAGAAAAAUUAUCUAUUCUAAAGUACAUUAGUUCCAUCAUGCAUAAAUCAAGGGAGUCACGGAAGGCCAGUAUCUUAAGGUAAUCCAACAUGUUAAAGCAUCCAAACAGAGACUCAGAAUUACAAAACGCAUGAAAAUUCACAUUCCAACGUGUUAUGGAAUCACCAAUUUCAGAUCAACCAAAAUCAAAUAAAUUUAUAUCAGUACGCAUCAAACCCACCAAACCCAAAAUCAAAAGAAGGUGAUCAAAUGUUUGAUUUUGCUAAAUAUUACAAAAUAAAAUAAAUAAGAAUAUGUACAAAUCAACAUGCAUACCUUGUAGCGGUGCAGGGAACAGUAGCGUGAGCUGCAUCGAGGGCAUGUGUACUGGGAAAAUUGCUACUGGCAGCUGCAACUAACAAAAACAAAAACAAAACAAAAUUGAAUAAAAUCAAAAUCGGAAAAAUUUCCAGAAAAUAAAUAAAACAAAUUAUCAAGCUUUGUUGAUGAAAGAGAGGUGGGGUUGGUGAAGAACAUACACGCGGCUAUGAGCAGUAGACAAAAGAUUUCAAAAUGAUUUCUUCACUUUUCAAUCAGGACAUGCACGAAUAUAAAAAUGGCAGAGAGGAUUAAAACCAUACCAAACACUAGAAAAUCAAGUAUAAAAAUCGUACUUACCUUGUGAAUGAGGACAUGCAGACACAUGAUGGAUGAAGGACAGCAAAUCCCGCAUACACGAACCUAACUUGCCACUGUUCGCCACCCCCACCCCUCCCUAUCUCUCUCUCCCUGCAAUCGCGACGAUUUCUGUCACUGUCACCCUCCCACUCCCGAAUCGAAUAUCCGCACGAAAUCUCUCUCUCUCUCUCUCUCUCUCUCUCUCUCUCUCUCUCUCUCUCUCUCUCUCGCUCGGUUUCUCUCACUGUCACCCUCCCACUCCCGAAUCGAAGAUCCGCACGAAAUCUCUCUCCCUCUACAAGCGGCAUGGCCGCUGUCCCUCUCUGUCUGCCCUCACCAUCAAUCCCAAUCCCAAAAUUAAGAUGACAAAAGUGCCCUGCAACCCUUUAAUUCUAGCCGCGUGAUCCUAACCCUAGAUGAAUAUUUCUGGAAUUUGAACACCCAAAGUAUCUCAUCAAAUGUGGAUGUACCCACAGUAUGAAUCUGAGAAUUUCUCAAUUCAACUCUCGAAAUUACUGUGACAGUAUUAAUAUAUCAUGUGGAAUGAGGUGGUAUUAUGGUAAAAGAUAGAACUUUAGCUGAUGGUAAACAACAUUUGGGAAUUUGAUGUAAGCCGGCUGGGAAUCCCAAAUGUUGUUUACCAUAAGCUAAAAUUUAAUCUCUGAUUAAAAAAAUAAUAAUAAAAAGCACACCUCAAACUGACAAGGACCAUAAUUUUCAAGUGACACUGCUUUUCAAUGGUUACCAUAAAAAAAAUAAUAAUAAAAGAACUGAUCAUUUGAAUUAUUCAUGACAGAACCAAUUUUGAUUUGAAAUAUGAUGGCCAAGAACAAAUCACACUGCUUUUCAAUGGUUACCAUAAAUUUUCAGAAGUUACAGAAGAUUUUUUUAUCAAAUGAAAAGACAAUGGUCACAUAUAUCUACAAUUAACCACCAGUAAGCGUGAAAUAUUACAUCACAAUGCAAUAGCAGCUAUACAGGAUGCCAUGCCAUUCAUACUAUGACAAAUCACAAAAGUGACAAUUAAAGGGCACCUAACAGACACCCCCAUCUCUCUCUCUGCAAUAGCAGAAAUCCCUCGGGUUUCAGAAAGCAAAUGGAAAACAAAAUGCUUUUACAUCCCCUACCCAUACCCAUACCUCCCUUUACCCGUUCCCUUUACCCUCGCAGAAAAUCCUCCCAUCUCUCUCUCACCCUUGUCCCAUCUCUCUGUCUGCAAAUCGCAGAAAAGAAACCCUGAACAAAUCACUUAAAUCCCUCGCCUAAAUCCU